RNAcentral lists this long non-coding RNA (74663 nucleotides) under Triticum aestivum (bread wheat). RNAcentral describes it as "long non-coding RNA (TAES_LNC027902)". The stretch from base 47305 to 47391 matches the Rfam family "MIR1120/MIR1122 microRNA precursor family". The record is from RNAcentral. Lineage: Eukaryota; Viridiplantae; Streptophyta; Magnoliopsida; Poales; Poaceae.
UUUGACAUGGACCUCAUGGAUAGGAAGUCGGAGGUGAAGCGCAUCAUAGAGGAAGUGAUCAACAGCAUGUCUGACGAUGAAGGCGAGGAAGAAAAUGAGGAGGAUGCAGAGGAGAAUGGCAAGAAGGGAGAAGAUUCAAAGGAGGAUCCUGAUGAAGAGGAAGAGAAAUAAGCCAGACGUGAUCGACUGACCGAUCUCCUGUAUUUGUCGAGUGUUCUUCUUGUUGGUUGCUGGGGCUGUUCUGGCCUGUACAAUGGUGGCACCACAACAACCGUUUUGGUGGUGGUCUGGGCAGGUGCUAGACUGUUUGUUAGCCAUUUGAUGUGAUGGCCCUGCACUCCUACCUGGUUGGUGUGCUUGACUCUUGGUGUUCUUGACCUGUAGUCUCUUAGUUGCCGGUCAUGUACAAUAGCUGCUUGGUUAUAUGACUCUGUUCCUUUCUUAGGUAGCUAGCCCUGACUGUAAUUUGCAGCAUGCAUACUUGUCCGUGUUCUGUUCCUUGCAUUUUAUCCAUGUAAAACUGUUGUAUUCUUGUGGAUUUCUUGCUUGCGCCGUCUGCAUUUCAUCAUGCCUUUUCUCACCAUGUGACAAAUUGUUUUGAGCUAGUAUUGUUUUUAAUGUGGCUGUAGUAUGCGAAAAAUCCCUUUUGGAGGCCGAGCUCCAAUGAGGCUAGCUUUUGAAAAAUUCAAAAUUCAUUAAAAUUCAUUCAUAUUUUUACAUUUCAAAAAAUUCUAAAGAAAAGAUAUACACGGAGAUAUAUUGCACAAGUGUGUAAAUUUUAAGGAUGAAAUUCGUUGGAAUGAGGGCUGUGCAAAAAAGACAAAUUUAGAACUUUUUAGCACAUGAUACAUCCUCAUAGGUCAUAAAUUUGUCUUUUUGUGCAGAUUGCAUUUUAAGGUAUUUCAUCCUGAAAAUUUACGCAUAUAUGCAUAACAUCCUCGUUUACUUGUACAUUUCUUUUUCUUGAAACUGAAAGUUUGAUUUGUUUUCUUCAAAAAAAUGGCCUCGAUGGAUGCGAGAGCCAAAAUGCCACACUCCUGUGGUAUGCCCUUUUGAAGUUGAUGGAAGUUCUGGCUCUAUGUUGAACAGGGAAAGGUGCCGGGUGUGAAAAUGAUGGAAAUCGCCAAAGAGAGUGGUGAAGUUUUUUACCCGGGUUCCAAUGAUCUCUGACAUUGGCUGGAUAAAUAAAGUUUGAAGGGACUUCUCGAGUAGGUAAUCUGUUUUAUCAGUCUCCACCAAAGAGAGUGGUGAAGUUUUUUACCCGGGUUACAGUGAUAUCUUGCUUGGGCUUCUCGAGGAGCUAAUCUGUUUUAUCAGACUCCACCAAUAAGUUGCAAUGACAACAACUAGCUUAGCAAUAAAUUGCUUAAUUAGUGACCAACAUGUUAGAUACUAUGUAGUACUCCCUCCGUAAACUAAUAUAAGAGCGUUUAGAAUACUAAAAUAGUGAUCUAAACGCUCUUAUAUUAGUUUACAGAGGGAGUAGUAACGUGUCAGGAAUAGAAUGAUUGGUUGCAGCAAGGAUUUCAGUUUAUAAUAAACCAUGGUGAGCAAAACGAGGCUGCUUUAGAGAAAGGGCAAAGAAAAAGCAUGUGCAUUCCAUCCUCUGUAUUAUCACACCCAAAGCAGUUUUCAGUAAUGCGUUAGAGAAUUUACUUGCUCUCUUACCCUUAGAAAGCGCUUUACUAAGAAGCCUCCAAGCAAAUGUCUGUACCCAUGGCGCCAUGAAUUUGUCUUGCCAAACUUGGUUUAGAAGAGCAAUGUUUUGUGGAUGAACCGCUUUGGGUUGUUAUCUAGCCGAUAGCUCAAGGUUGUUGAAGCAAUGUUUAUAUGCACUUUUCGAUGAGAAAUUGCAUGCAAGUGUUAGUUUCCAAUUCAAAGCAUCUUGCACAACAUCAGAGUCAAAAGAAUAUUACUAGCUAUCUCAGGAGUGAACGGGGAGUUAUUGUAUCAACAUUCCAAGCUUUUUGAUCUGGCAACCAAAGAUCUUUAACAAUAGCGGAACAUCAUAACAUCAUCAAUGUAUAGAGGCAACCAUGGUAGUGCAACUAAGGCAGGAUCUAAUGGCUUGCCACUAACAAAAUGAAGAAGCUUAUUGGAUGCGUUUGGUAGACUGCACCUUUUUUUGCCCCAUUGCAUGUUGACUCAACUGAACAGUUUAUGCCUGCUAUUUUGUGGCCUGCAUUUAUGCUUCAGGGUGAGCAGAUGCAAACUACAACAGUUUGGUUGUGUGCACUGUGUUGUUCUGCUCACCCCUUUCAAAUGUGGUGUGCUUAUCCACCAAUUGGACUACACUUCACAACAACACAUCACGUAUCAAGCAGGAACACAAUUAAAAUACCACGCCUACUCAUUAUUAGCAUGCAACUACAUAGUUCACGGUGCAACUAGAACAUCAAUUUAACACAACAGGGGCAUCACAUGCCCCUAGACAACCCCAAGAUGCUGAUCCCUAGGCAGAAUGUACACCUGACAACAAAAGAUCAAAGUUCACACAUACACGCUUUAGAUAGACGGUUCGAGCAAGAAGAAGAGCACGAGCAAUGUCACCCUAGCAGCAGUGCUUGGUGCACCUGACCUUGCAGAUGGUGGAGUUGCCGGCGAUUUAGAUAUUGACCUUCAAGCCCAGGCCCAACAGCUUCAAGACUAACAGACCACAGAGGGCGAUGAUGUGCUUUUAACAAAAGUAGUUCCAACCCCUCCCCAGCAACAUCUGCUCGUGGAAGAUCUGCACAUAGACCCAAAACUCGCACCAUUUGUUUGCUAAGAGCUUGACAAUGCAAGGAGGUUUUAGGACGAGCCAUCGUUUCAUCAGGGGCAGAGUCGAGGAUGACAAAAAUGGCAAUGUCCUUGACGUUCUUGAUGGACACAUAGACUUCAGUGGCUCGCGUGUCCCCUCCUCAUGGCCAAGCCUAGACAUGCGGCCAAUCCCUAGCGACUUGCUCAUCUCAGCUAGUUUGCCCAACACCAUCACUGUUUUCUGCAAACCGAUUCACCCGCAUGAUGUACUUGUCCCCUCGGCGCCAUUAACGACCAGCCUGGUGGGGGCCAACGAUGCUGAUAGGCGGCCCAACCUUGCCCGUCAUGGACCCCUGAGGUAAACUGCCCGGGUGCACGCUGUCCGGGCAUAUCAGACACGCAGAGAGCUGUAGGGAGCCACCCGCAUCACGCCGAUGCCAGGACACGCUAAAGCCCUCCUCGCGCAUGGAGACUCCCAGGAGACAGGUACUCCAUUAUCCUUUGUAGGAGUAAUGAGACACUUACGAUUUGAAUCCUCCCAUUUAGCCUUAACAUCACAGUCCCUCAUAAUCUCCAUCACCUUCUUUAGGUGCUUCAGGAGGACCAUUAAGGAGAACAUAAUCAAUAUUCAGCAAGGCAAAAGUAAUCUCAAGCUUUUGCUUCCAUGUAGCAUAGUUGCUACCAUAUAAUUGGUCUAUAUUGUUAAGCAUUCCAGCAAUAUGAGAGGCAUUAGAUGCUGCAAAAAGAAUCAAUGUUUUAAUGAGCAUCAUCAUCAUCAACUUGUUUUAGUGACCAAAUUCAAAUAAGCUUUGACCCGAAAUGAGUAUGAACAAAAAAAAUGUGGACAAGUAUUUAUUAAUCAGCUUUGGCCAGAGUAAUAAAUAGAAGCCACAUUUUAUUAAAUCCUUAUGUAUAAACUUCUUUUAUCAAUCUUGUUCAUAUCAGCUUUGGCCAGAAAUGGGCAUAAUUAAUAAAGUUUUAUGAUGCUCGUCAUUUUUUUUGUGGGUGGAGAACGUUAAUUUUACAGUGGAAACAACCUAACAUAACAACAGUCCUAAUAAAAUGCCACAAAAGAAUCAAGAAAUAAUAAUAAAUGCAUUCAUAUAAUCAGACAUGGCACGUAAAAGCAUGAGGAACAGUAAGAUGUAAAGGAAUUAUGUAACAUUUUUAACAAGCAUAACCAAACAUGCAAAAGUUAAGCCCUGAAACUUAUUUAUUUUAGUUCAGAAGAAUAAACUUAAAAUAAAAAAGACUUUAGAUUAUUCUCAGUGAAUCUCAGCCUAUGUACAUAUUCAGGCCAUUACAUGAAAACAUGCAAAGGUCACUCCCACAUUUUCAGUUUUGCGCCACUUGUCAUACCCAGAGAGUUUUCUCUUUUUUCAUAGAUUCGAAUAUGUAUACACCCAAAUCCCGAACCAUCUUCACCGUUGGAUUACUAGCAUCGAGAUCAUCAAACUAGAUCCCAUGUUAAUAUGUUUCGACGAUCUAUUUUUCUCUGCAAAUAAACCGAAAGAAAAACUGUGCCUCCCGCGAAAAAAUAACGUGUUUUUCCCUUUCAGAGAGGCACACCUCUCGUGUAUGCAAACCUGUGCAUCCACGAGAAGCAGAUCCGUUACUCUCGCGGAAGAAAAAAAACACGUUUUUCUUUUUCUUUUUCGAGAGGCACAGCUGUGCCUCUUGCAGAAGCAAAACUGUGCCUCCAUGAGAUGCAAGUGUGUGCCUCUCGCGGAAGAACAACAAUGUUUUUUUCUCUUUCCGAGAGGCCUCCACGAGAAACAAAUCUGUACCUCUCGCGGAAGAAAAAAUAUUAUAUUUUUCCUUUUUUGGUGAGGCACAUUGGGCUUCCCUUGGAAGCAAAUAUGUGCUAUUUGUGGAACCAAAAACACCAUUUUUCACGCAAUUAUUUGUCCAAAAUCUAGAGAAAACCAGGGAAAAACUGGAAAAUAAAAACCAUCUAAAACCAGAAAACGCGUACAGAAAAAUAAAAAACACAAAAUCCUGAGGAGGUGCCCAACAUUCGAUAUGUGACGGCGGCUGAGAGCAUGCAAAUGGGCACGCUCUCAAACCGCCAAAACUGACUCUUGACAAGCUCCCGCAAGGGGUAUACCUCAAUUAGUUGCUCUCCCUAUGUCUCGCUUCUAGCGAGACGUAGGGAACCCUCACGUCAAGCCUAGCGCGACAUGGGCUGGCGCAGUGCGCAGAAGUGCACUGCCACGUUUUAUUUCUGCUUUUUCUUUCACUUUUUUGUUUUCAUUUUUUCAUUUAUUUUUUACUUUUGUUUACAUUUCCAAAUGUUAUAAACAUAUAUAUUCAAAAGUAUACUUUACAUAAUGUUUUGAAAAAUAUAAAUCAUGCAUUUGAAAAAAUGUUAAAUAUGUAUGGAGAAAAUGUUGACCAUGUAUAUGAAAAAUGUAUACAAAAAAUAUAGAUCAUGUAUUUAAAAAAUGUUAGUCAAGCAUUUGAAAAAUAGUUAAACAAGUAUAUAAAAAAUGUUAAUAAAUAUUUCAAAAAUAUUAAAUGUGUAUAGAAAAAUGCUGAUCAAAUAUUUAAUUAAUAUUAAUCUUGUGUUUGAAAUUUUUUAAUCAAGCAUGUGUAAAAUGUUAGAUGUGUAUAGGAAAAAUGUUGACCACAUAUUCAAGGAAUGCUAAAUGUGUAUAGAUAUUUUUUGAUCACUUAUUUAUAUAACGUUAAUAUUGUAUUAAAAAAUGUUAAUACAUAGAAAAAAUGCUGAUCAUUUAUGAACAAAAUGUUAAUCCUGUAUAAUAAACAUGUUAAUAAAAUUAUUUAAAAAAUCAACUGUGUUUAAUAAAUAUUAAUUGUUGAUUAAAAAUGUUAAUUUUGUAUUUGCAUAAUAUUGAAGAUGUAACAGAAAAUUGUACUAUCUAUAUUUUAAAACAUAAGUCAUUUUGGUAGGCUAUUUUAGCCAAAUAAAUAUCUUAUAUUUUAAAACGGAGGUAGUAUUAGACUUAGGCCAGAAAUAUACUCCCUCUGUUCCUAAAUAUAAGUCAUUUUAGAUAUUUCAAAUGGACUACAACAAACGGAUGUAUGUAGACAUAUUUUAAAGCAUUGAUUCACUCAUUUUACUUCGUAUGUAGUUACUUAUUGAAAUAUAUAGAAAGACUUAUAUUUGGAAAUGGAGGGACUAUAAUAUGUAUGAGAAAAAAUUAGACAUCAAAAAAUGUUUCAAAUGUAUACCAAAAGUGUUAAUAAUAUAUUUAAUUUUUAACCUGUAUAUAAAAUAGUUUUCAGAUGUAUAACAAAAAUGUUGAAUGUUUAUGAAACCAAGAAAAAAAACAAAGAAGAAAAAACAUAGUACUAGUGAAAGCGAAGAAAGAAACAAAUAAAAAUUGACAAAAAACAAAAAAAUAGUGAAAACCGAGAAAGAAACACAGAAACCCGAUGAAAAAGGAAAAAGAAAAACAGGAAACCAUGAAUAAAUAAAAGAAAAGAAAGAGAAUGAAACCCAGCGAGCGGGAUGAACGAACCAACGAACUCGAAGGAAUGGAAACCGAGCUACUAAGCGAACCAAUAUGUGGUUGAAUGGUUAGGAGAACAAUGGUAUUCUCAGCCCAUCAGGAUUCAAGUCCUGGUGCUCGCAUUUAUACUGAAUUUAUUUCAAGAUUUUCAGUGAUGCGCGUUCAGUGUGUGGAGACGUUUUCAUUGACUACGAUGCACCUACGAUAACUUUGUAAAAUCUCAAGGUCGGAACUAGCACUUGCGUGAAGCGAGAUUAUAAUAGCUGCCGCUAUUAACCCCUAGGCCUGGGCGGCUGCGCCGCCGGGAAAUCGCGUUCCCGCAGUGGCCCACCGGACCAACGCGGCCGCAGGAUAUACCGCGAGCCGUCAGAUGGCGAUCUGACGGUCGAGCGCGCGCACGGCUGGAACAAAACUCUAGCUCUCUCUCAUGAGCCCUGCCCUCUUGUCUCGUACCGAGACGAUCCGAUCGAAUUUUCUCUCCGAUCCGCUGGCGCAUCAAGUGGCAACGAACGAUCGAUCGACCGAUCGCGUGAGGCGCGUACGUACGUAGCGCAGGACGUGGAUGCCUCUUCGCCAGUCCGCGACUGACCCCCGACCGUUUAACGCACGCAGAAGAGAGACGAGCGAAUGAUCCGCAGAGCUAGCCGGCCGGUCAGACACGCGAUCCUUGAUCGAGACGGACGAGGACGAGGACGGCACACAUGCGCAUGCGCCGUGACGUACGCCCGCAUACGGGCCAAGAGCCCAGCAGCUCCGACACAGCUGCAAGAGGGGACGGACGGACGGACGAGAUCGACGGUCGACAGCAAUCGAGCGCGCUGACCUUAUUUGAAGUUUGAAUACUGCGCUAGCUGGGCGAAAUACCUACAGUAGACAGUAGUACAUAGCUUGAGAAAAGCUUGUUGAAAUGUGAGAUGGGCCUAGAGCCCAUAUAACAAUUUCAGAUUUGAUCUCUAAGGGCCCAUGUAGGUGGCAUGACAAGGUGGUGGGAAGUUUAGUCCCACCAUGCUAGUGGAAGUAAAGUUGGAGUGGUUUAUAAGGGUGACUCUUCUACGUGCUAUUGGAGCUUGAGAAGAGAAGAGGCCCUCGCGCGCUCCUCCUCCGCCGUUGCGGAAAUGAGCCGAGCUCACACCUAUGCGCUUAUUUUUGCCAGUCACUAACGGAGAGGUUCUGACAGCAGGGCUACGAUCCGAGACGUCGGAUCGUGGGCUGUCACGGACUCGGACGUGGGUCAAGCCCACGUCUCUCCACGCGGCUGCGUCUAUAUAAGUGUGUUGUGUCCCCUAACCCUAGCCGCCACGAAUAGAUCACAUCUGCUCACGCGCACGCCCACCGUCAUUCCUUUGCUGCUGCUGCCGCCGGUGACUCCAUCCCGUCCGCCGGGUACACGGUCGACGGGAGAGCAGGUCUCCGAAACCACGCCCUUCUGGUUCCUGUACGGGGUGAGGGGCGAAUAGGUUUUUGGGCAGUGAUUACGCGAUUGCUCGCUUCCGAUCGUCUACUUCCUCUACGUCCGCGUCGCCUUCAUCAUCACCAUGUCCACCGACCCCGACCGCGUCGUCGCCGAGAAAGCUGAAGCCGACAAGAAGGCCGCUGUCGUGGUUCUAAGUCUGACAGUAGAAUGGGGGGUAAGUAUGGAAAGGCAAGGUCCUAGCUAUGGAGUAGUUGUACACACGGGUGUUUAGCGAGUUCAGGCCCAUUUCGGAGGAAGUAACAGCCCUACGUCUCGGAGCCCGGAGGCGGUCGACUGAUCUCUGUGUAUAUGAGUUACAGGGGUGCGAACCCUUCUACCAGUGGAGGGGGGUGGCUUAUAUAGAGGUCGCCAGGACCCCAGCCAGCCCACGUAGAGGAGGGUUAAAGUACAUUAAGGUCGGGCGUUACUGGUAACGCCCUACAUAAAGUGUCAUCAUGACCAUUAAGACUACUUAAUUACAGACCGUUUGGAUACAGUAUAUGUCUUGAACUUCUGAUGGUCGAGUGUGUCUUCAUGGUCGAGUGGAGCUUCUCUUGGUUGAGUGGAGCUUCUCUUGGUCGACUGGAAGGUAGCUUUGUGUGAUGAUGUCCUUGGGUAUGGUAUCCUAGAUAGGUCCAUGACCCUACCCUAGGUACAUAACCUCAUCAUUAGUCCCCGAAUGGAUCGAGGUUCGAGUGAGGAAGGAGUUGACGAUUUUCUCCGACUUAUUUACUGUACUUUGAUUAUGUCGUAUCUUGGAUCGGCGAUUCUUCUUUCGGCGUUGGCGUCGACUUUUACUUCAGUCGCCUUGAUCCAUUCCUAUCUUUUGUCGAGUGAACUUUUGAACUCCGGUGAUCUUCCGAGCGACGGAUCGCGGGAAGGAUAUCGUCUGACAGAUUGAUCUGCUGUUAGCGGAUUUUGCGGGAUCUGAAAUUUGGGAAGCGCGCGAAGCGGGGCGAUCCGCGGCAAUCGGGCGGGAUAAAGCAUGGACGCCUCGAUUUCCGCGCCGCCUUUUUCGCCACGUAUCGUACGUGUGCGACUGUUUCGGGAUGUGACAGAUCUGCUCGGACCCACUCGUCAGCCACUCGGAAGCGCCCUUAUAUAAAGCGCCGGGGAAGAGUUUUUGAACAGUGCCUCCCCAUUCUCCUCUCUUCCCUCUCUGCCUCCGCCCACGGCGCCUGCUCCUACCUCUGCCUUAUCCACCUCUCGAGCGCUUCGCCGGCGAUAAUGGUGAAGGAGAAGACGGCGGCUCUAGAGCAUGCGAAGAAGGCGACGGCGACGGGGCAAGCGAAGGGGAGACCGUCCAGUCGGGGCGGAUCUUCGUCGAGGUCCCGCCUGCCGAAAGGUUGGGUUCAAGGGGAUUGGAUCCGCUCGACCAUCACUGAGAAGGACCUCGACAACCUGGCCAAUGAGGGACUGAUCCUCCACGGGUCAGCGAGGCUCCCGGGGUCCGAGUGUCAACCGCAGCCGCAGGAGGGUGAGUGCGUUCUCUUAGCCACUCACGUAGAUCGUGGUUUUUCUCUGCCGCCGAGUGUGUUCUUCCGUGGGUUUCUGAAUUUCUUUGGGGCGCAACUCCACCAUUUCAAUCCCAAUUCCAUCGCCUAUCUUGCUGCCUUUGUGUCCAUGUGCGAGAACUUCCUGGGUUGUCGACCGCACUGGGGGUCUCUUCAAGCACAUAUUCACCUAUCGGUCGCAGACAGUAAAAAAGGCGAGUCCAGGUGAUGAGAGGACCAAGGUUAUUCAGAUGUGCGGGGGUCUUGGGAUUCAGUUGAGGAAUAAGAGCACUUUCCCGGCCAUGACCCUUCCUGAGUCGGUCAGAGGGUGGCAGUCGACUUGGUUCUACUGCCAAGACCAGUCGACGCCGGGGCAGUUGACUGGUCUCCCUCCGUUCUCCAUGGACCGAGUGGACAAACCGUCUUCUCUGAAGGUGCUUCCUGAGGAGAAAGCCAAGGUAAAAAUGUUGGUGGAGCGCAUGGUUCAACUCGUUCGGGACGGAGUGACGGGCAUGGAUCUUCUGGAAGUCUUCCUUAGGCGGCGCAUCCAACCGCUCCAGUACCGAGGCCACCCGAUGUGGCUGUACUACGGUACCGAAGACACCACUCGGGUCCAUCCAGAGGCAGUCGACGACGCCACUCUAGAGAGGUGGGUGACCGCCAUCACAGGAAAUAAGGACAACCCUCGAGGAGCGAGGAGGAUCCCACCACUCGACUGUACCUAUACGCCGGACAAGGUAUGGCCGCUUAUCUCCGAGUGUAAUUUUGUUUUAUCCAUUUUGCUUCGCCGUGAAUUGAUCGAGUGAUCUUCAUUUUGCUUUGUUGCUUGUCUGACAGGCCACCACUGAAUUGUACUCGAUGCCCAAUGGGGCGCAGACGCCGACUGAGGAGGAGGAAGGAAGCGGGGGCGAAAGCCCGGAGGAGUGGGAUUCGGAUGCUGACGACGACGACGAGGGUGACGACUCUGGUGAGGAGGAAGAAGAGGAGGAGGAGGAGGAAGUUGCACCUCCUCGCUCGGAAAGACGCUCGAAGCUUGCCCAUGAUCCAGCGACUGAGCGGGGUAAGGGGGUCGCAACCGCUUCUCAGUCGACCAAGCGCCCUCGGACCACUUCUCCGGCGCUGACUGAGAAGGCUCCGAAGCAAUCUCGAGUGGUACCGUCGAAGCCCGCAAAGGUCUUGCCGAAGAUGAAGAUGGUGAUCCCACUAUCUCAGGGUAAUGGUAGUUUUGAGCUUUCCUUGUUUCAUGAACUUGCUCUUGGUCGACUCAUGGGUCAAUCGACUAAUUUCUGGAACUGCAGCGCUGCUACUUCUGAUACUUCGACCAAGGCUGAAGACCACGAGAUGGAGGAUGCUACUACCUCACAACCUGGUAUGAUUCUUGUGAUGCCGUUUUCAGUCGACUGACUUAUUGUCUCUAAUUUUGAUUCUUUUUGCAGCUUCAUCUAACAUUGUUAUUGACCUUCCUGACGACGACGACGAAGAACCACCGAGGCAAAGGAGGAGCAAGAAAACGCCUGCUGGCAAGGCGACUCGAGAUGUGCCAGCACUCGAGACGUUGGUCGUGGAGGGAGACAAUGUCACUCGACCCACCGUAACCUUCGCGGUGCCGUUGACGAGUGCUCGCCCUUCGUCGUCGAGUGCUGCUCAACCCUCGCUUUUCUCCACCUACCCUAUUCCAUAAGACCAAGCCAGUGCUGCCAGAGAAGCGAUAUGCCAAGCGGGGGUCAUGAUGGAGCAAGUGAAGGCGAUACGAGAAGCUAGCUAGGCAGCCUAUGACGCCAGUUCAACUCUUCAGAGUAAUGUUCAGGUCAGUCGGUCACUGCCUGUUCUGUUAGGAUAUGAUAUCCGUAAACUCUUCUUUCUGCAAUUCUUAGAGUUUGUCCAGCACCCACUGGGUGUGUCGAAUGAAAUUCCGGGUUAGUGGGGGCACGCUGAGUGCACCCACUGGGUGUAGUCCCCAAGGCUAUGAUGGACUACUGGCAGUCGACCAUAGUCUUUAUGCUUUGAGUUUUUCUUUACUCGACAAGGUCGAAUAGAUUCAUAGACCGGUGGGGGCACACUGAGUGCACCCACUGGGUGUAGUCCCCGAGACUGUGGUCGACUGCUGGCAGUCUACUAUAGUCUAAAGAACAUUGCCUCUUUUUUGUUGUUGUUGUUGGUCGACUGGUCGACUCUUGAUGAAACUAGUGGGGGCACGCUGAGUGCACCCACUGGGUGUAGUCCCCGAGACUAUGGUCGAAUGUUUGCAUUCGGCCGUAGUCUUAGAAACGCUAUGAUUUUUCCUUACUCACUCGGAAGUGAAUUGUCUUUGACGUCUGUCGAUUGAUUCUUCGUAGAAAUCUUGUGACCUUGUGGCUCGUUAUACUGAGUUGGAGAACAAACACAUUCAGCUCGAGCUCGAUCUGAAACUGGCCCAAGAGAACUUGACGAAGGCGAAGGAGGAAGCUAAAGGUAUGCUUGGUGAGGCUUUUGACGACUGCCUUUGCCUCUCACUUGUUUCCGAAUCUAAUCUCACUGUAACUUUGUAGGCAAAGUGAAGGACGCCCUGAAGAAACAAGAGCUUGAGUUGGCUGAGAUGCAAAAAACUGCUUUAGAGAAGACCAGGCUAGCAGAUGAGAAGCUGGCUUCAGUGACUAAGCUUGAAGAAGAAAACACCAAUCUGAAAGCUGCUCUCGAUGCUGCCAACCAAGAGGUCACUCGACUGAAAAUCGACAAGACCACCCUGAAUGACAAGGCCAGUGAGUUGAAGAGAAAGAAGAAUGAUCUAGAGGCUUAUCUAGGUGGACUCGCUAAGAAGUUGUUCCUCAUGCUUGAAGGUAAUCCUUUGUAUCAAACAAAUAUUUUACUUGUGACCUCCGACUGUUUGUCUUGACUCGGUGGUUGUGCUUGCAGAAUUUUGUCAGAACUUUGAAGAGGAGACUGGUCGACUGGAAGUAAACCUGGACCCCAUCAACUCUCCUGUGAAAGAUGAAGUCGCCAUGAACGUGCUCCGACUUGAAUCUCGUGUUGCUGCCGUCAUCGAUUAUCUCGCAAGGCUGAAGGUCGCAACUUCCCACAUCGACACAACACUCUGGCCAAGAGAGACACUCCAGAACGACCUCGAGUCUCUGAUGACUCGACUGAACGAGGUCCCAAGUCGAGUGCAGGAGUGGAAGAAGUCUUCAGCCAGGUGCGGCGCGGAUGUGGCUCUGUCUCUGGUCCGCGUUCAUUGCAAGGAUGCACGAGAGGACAAGCUGGUGGCUCUUAGGGUGGCCAACACCAAGAAGCACGAUUUCAGAUCUUUCAUGGAGACUUUCAUUGCCGCUGCCACUCGGAUUGCAGAUGGAAUUGAUCUGGACGAGUUUGUGGCGCCUUCCAGCCCUCCACAGGAGGGGUAAAAUACUUCAGAGCUUGAUACUUUAAAUUUGCCUCGGUAUGCCGAGUGAGUUUUUUGUAACCGACAAACCUUAACAUGCCUAGCGCCUGAGCACUUUCGGUUCCGUUAGGUGUUAUCCGAACUUGGGUUCGUCACUGAAUACGCUUGCAUUUGGUUUGAGGCGUCCUUUGCAGGUUGAAGCAAAGCGCUUAUUGCCAUCGGCCUGCAUCCUAAUUCACUUAGAGUACUGGGCUGCAACUAAGUCCCCGAGUGAGAGGUUUGCCCUCCACUCGGUAGGAUUUUAAAUACUUAGGCGAGCACUGGGCUGCAGCUAAGCCCCCGAGUGGGAGGCCUACUCUCCACUCGGUAGGAUUUCAGAUACUUAGGCGAGCACUGGGCUGCAGCUAAGCCCCCGAGUGGGAGGUUUGCUCUCCACUCGGUAGGAUUUCAUUUACUUAGGCGAGCACUGGGCUGCAGCUAAGCCCCCGAGUGGGAGGCCUGCUCCCACUCGGUAGGAUUUCAGAUACUUAGGCGAGCACUGGGCUGCAGCUAAGCCCCCGAGUGGGAGGUUUGCUCUCCACUCAGUAGGAUUUCAGAUACUUAGGCGAGCACUGGGCUGCAGCUAAGCCCCCGAGUAGGAGGUUUGCUCUCCACUCGGUAGGAUUUUUGAAUUGGUGGCGCAGCUAGGAAGGAGAGGGUAGCAGUCGAUCUGCACCUCGUCCUCCUUGCAGAACACAUGUUGUACUUGUACUUAGGCGAGUUCUUGGACUGCAGCUAAGCCUCUGAGUGGAAGGCUGGCUUACCACUCGGUAGGAUUUUAUUUACUUAGGCGAGCACUGGGCUGCAGCUAAGCCCCCGAGUGGGAGGCCUGCUCUCCACUCGGUAGGAUUUUAUUUAUCUUAGGCGAGUACUUGGACUGCAGCUAAGCCUCUGAGUGGAAGGCUGGCUUACCACUCGGUAGGAUUUUAUUUAUCUUAGGCGAGUACUUGGACUGCAGCUAAGGCUCCGAGUGGAAGGCUGGCUUACCACUCGGUAGGAUUUUAUUUAUCUUAGGUGAAACGGAUUUCGCAGCUAAGCCUUCGUGUGGGAGACCGACUCACCACUCGGUUAGGAUUUGUUUUUACAGACUUAGGCGAAUCGGAUUCGCAGCUAAGCCACCCACUGGGGGAUUGUUUUAUAUGGACAAAAGUAAUAACAAUCACUGGGAAAGCUAUAAAGCUCUUGUCUUUGAUAAAUAAACUACAGGAGUACUUUUAUUACAACUCAUCCGAGUAAAUACUUAAGUGUAAAAGGGGCGGAGAAGCUCCGCGUUCCAAGCUCGGGGCUCGUCGAUCUGAUGCUCGACAUUGUAAAGACGGUAUGCUCCAUUGUGGAGAACCUUGGUGACGAUGAAGGGACCUUCCCAAGAAGGAGCAAGCUUGUGUGGUUUCUGCUGGUCCACUCGCAGAACUAAAUCUCCUUCCUGGAAGGCUCGACCCUUCACGUUUUUGGCGUGGAAGCGACGCAAGUCUUGUUGAUAAAUGGUUGAUCUGAUCAGAGCCAUCUCUCUUUCUUCCUCUAAAAGGUCGACUGCGUCCUGCCGCGCUUGUUCUGCUUUAGCUUCAGUGUAGAGCUCGACUCGGGGAGCGUUGUGGAGAAGAUCACUCGGCAAGACUGCUUCAGCUCCGUAGACUAAGAAGAAUGGAGUUCUUCCAGUCGACCGGUUGGGUGUGGUCCUUAACCCCCAAAGCACCGAGGGGAGUUCGUCAACCCAUGCACCAGCCGCAUGCUUGAGAUCAUGCAUCAAACGGGGCUUCAACCCUUUGAGAAUCAGACCGUUGGCUCGUUCUGCCUGUCCAUUUGACUGCGGAUGGGCGACUGAAGCAUAGUCGACUCGUGUGCCUUGAGAUGUGCAGAAAGCUCUGAAUUCUUCAGAAUUGAAGUUUGACCCGUUAUCAGUGAUGAUGCUGUGCGGGACUCCAUAUCUGAAUAUCAGUUCUCGGAUGAAGCUGACAGCGGUACCAGCAUCGAGGUUCUUGAUGGGUUUGGCCUCAAUCCACUUGGUAAACUUGUCGACCGCUACCAGCACAUGUGUGAAACCGCUUCUGCCUGUUCUCAAAGGACCGACCAUAUCCAAACCCCACACUGCAAAGGGCCAGACGAGUGGUAUAGUCUUCAAAGCUGAGGCGGGCUUGUGUGACAUAUUGGAGUAAAAUUGACAUCCCUCACACUUGUCGACUAUCUCCUUCGCCAUUUCAUUCGCUCUGGGCCAAUAAAAACCAGCUCGGUAUGCUUUGGCCACGAUGGUCCGAGAAGACGCGUGAUGGCCACAGGUUCCCGAGUGGAUGUCGUUGAGAAUCAUUCGACCUUCCUCUGGUGUUAUACAUUUCUGGCUGACUCCAGUCGCACUUUCUCUGUAUAACUGACCUCUCAUGACGGUGAAGGCUUUGGACCAGCGGACGAUCUCUCGAGCUUCUUCUUCAUUCUCGGGGAGUUCUUUCCUCAAAAUAUAGGCGAUAUAGGGCACUGUCCAAUUGGGAGUGAUGACAAAACUUCCAUGAUUAAGUCGACCACCGCUGGGAUCUCGACUUCAGUCGGAUCUGUGGCGCUUUUAGGCUGCGGGGCUUCUUCAGUGAAAGGAUCCUCUUGAACCGAUGGUGUGUAGACAUGUUCCAAAAACACGCCACUCGGAAUGGCUUCCCUCUUGGAACCUAUCUUCGCCAAGUCAUCGGCUGCUUGAUUUUUCAGCCGGGGAACGUGAUGGAGUUCUAACCCUUCGAAUUUCUUUUCAAGCUUCCUCACUGCAUUGCAGUAUCCAGUCAUGGCUGGGCUUCUAACGUCCCACUCCUUCAUCACCUGAUUGACCACCAAAUCUGAGUCGCCGUAAACCAUAAGGCGAUGGACGCCGAGUGAAAUGGCCAUGUGCAACCCAUACAACAGUGCUUCAUAUUCUGCUUCAUUGUUGGAGGAAUCAAAGUGAAUCUGGAGCACAUAUCUGAGCUUAUCUCCUUGGGCAGAAACCAAAACUACCCCAGCACCAGAACCAUUUAACAUCUUAGAGCCAUCAAAGAACAUGGUCCAAUGCUCCGAGUGAACUUGAGUCGGCUGCUGCUGUUCAAUCCACUCGGCAAGGAAAUCUGCUAUAGCCUGGGACUUAAUGGCUUUCUUUGCCUCGAAUUUGAUAUCAAGGGGAAGGAGUUCAAUCGCCCAUUUAGCCACUCGACCAGUUGCAUCUCUGUUGUGCAGAAUCUACGACAAUGGUGCGUUGCUGACGACUGUAAUGUCAUGAUCAGAGAAAUAAUGAGCAACCUUCUUCAUGGUCAUGUAGAUCCCAUAUACGAGCUUCUGAUAAUGAGCAUAUCUUUGCUUCGAUGGGGUCAAAACUUCAGAGAGGUAAUACACUGGGCGCUGAACUUUGAAGGCUUUCCCUUCUUCUUCCCGCUCUACCGUAAGUACUGUACUGACGACUUGUCCUGUGGCUGCAAUAUAAAGCAACAGAGGCUCUUUGCUGAUUGGAGCAGCAAGCACCGGCUGGGUGGAGAGCAGAGUUUUUAACUCGGCAAACGCUACGUCAGCUUCUGGAGUCCACUCGAACUUGUCUGCCUUCUUCAUCAGUCGGUAAAGGGGCAACGCCUUUUCACCGAGGCGAGAGAUGAAUCGACUUAACGCGGCCAAGCAUCCAGUAAGCUUCUGGACAUCGUGCACACGCACAGGGUGUUUCAUUCGGAGUAUGGUGCCAACUUUUUGUGGGUUAGCAUCGAUUCCUCGUUCGAAAACGAGAAAACCGAGUAACUUCCCGCCAGGUACUCCGAAUGUGCACUUUGAAGGAUUGAGCUUGAUAUCAUACCUCCUGAGAUUGGCAAAUGUUUCAGCUAAGUCAGUCAACAGGUCGGAACCCUUUCGCGACUUGACCACGAUAUCAUCCAUGUAUGCUUCCACAUUCCGACUGAUUUGAGUGAGUAAACACUUUUGAAUCAUUCUCAUGAACGUGGCUCCGGCAUUCUUGAGACCAAAUGGCAUGGUGAUAUAGCAGAAGCACCCGAAUGGAGUGAUGAAAGCUGUUUUGAUUUCGUCAGGUCCAUACAGACGGAUCUGAUGAUACCCGGAAUAAGCGUCUAGAAAAGACAAUCUCUCGCACCCUGCGGUCGAGUCGACAAUUUGGUUGAUGCGAGGGAGAGGAAAAUGAUCUUUCGGGCAGGCCCGAUUGAUAUGUUUGAAAUCAAUGCACAUACGAAGGGAAUUGUCCUUUUUGGGAACCAUAACGACAUUGGCGAGCCACUCGGAGUGGUAUAUUUCUCGGAUGAACUCUGAUGCAAGGAGUCGAGUCACCUCUUCGCCAAUGGCUUUUUUCUUCUGAACGACGGACCGUCGGAGAUGUUCUUUAACAGGUUUUGCCUUUGAAUCGACUCUAAGGUGAUGCUCAGCCAGUCCCCUGGGAACACCUGGCAUGUCAGCUGGCUUCCAUGCGAAGAUGUCCCAGUUCUCACGGAGGAACUGGAUGAGCGCUUCUUCCUAUUUAGAGUCGAGUGUAGUGGAAAUAUGGGUCAGGGCUGCAUUGGGGUCAGUCGGGUGGAUGUGAACUGGCUUCGUCUCCCCGGACGACUGAAAUGCUGACUCUGUGGCAGGCUUCUUGGCCCGCACUAAAUCACUCGGAUUUGCGUUCUUCUUGUAUCCCUCUAGCUCUAUCACUGUUAUCUGGUCAUCCGCAAUCUUUGAGCCUUUCUGGAAACACUCUUCUGCUUUCUUCCGGUUACCAGUGACGGUGAUCACGCCUUUGGGGCCAGGCAUCUUUAACUUGAGGUACACGUAACAUGGUCGAGCCAUGAAGCGGGCAUAGGCUGGUCUUCCCAAGAUAGCGUGGUAGGCGCUCUGGAAAUCCACGAUUUCAAAUGUCAGCUUCUCUUUGCGGAAAUGCUUCGAGUCGCCGAACACCACAUCCAGAGCUAUUUGGCCGAGUGACUCAGCCUUCUUUCCUGGGAUGACUCCGUGAAAACUCAUGUUGCUGGAACUGAGCCUGGACAUCGGAAUGCCCAUUCCCUUGAGCGUCUGUGCAUACAGUAUGUUCAACCCGCUGCCGCCAUCCUGUUGGAAAUAUGCCCUAGAGGCAAUAAUAAAAGCAUUAUUAUUAUAUUUCCUUGUUCAUGAUAAUUGUAUUUUAUUCAUGCUAUAAUUGUAUUAUCCGGAAAUCGUAAUACACGUGUGAAUACAUAGACCAUAACAUGUCCCUAGUGAGCCUCUAGUUGACUAGCUCGUUGGUCAACAGGUAGUCAUGGUUUCCUGAUUAUGGACAUCAGAUGUCAUUGACAACGGGAUCACAUCAUUAGGAGAAUGAUGUGAUGGACAAGACCCAAUCCUAAGCAUAGCACAAGAUCGUGUAGUUCGUUUUGCUAGAGCUUUUUCAAUGUCAAGUAUCUCUUCCUUAGACCAUGAGAUCGUGUAACUCCCGGAUACCGUAGGAGUGCUUUGGGUGUACCAAACGUCACAACGUAACUGGGUGACUAUAAAGGUGCACUACAGGUAUCUCCGAAAGUGUCUGUUGGGUUGACACGGAUCGAGACUGGGAUUUGUCACUCCGUAUGACGGAGAGGUAUCUCUGGGCCCACUCGGUAAUGCAUCAUCAUAAUGAGCUCAAAGUGACCAAGUGUUUGGUCACGGGAUCAUGCAUUACGGUACCAGUAAAGUGACUUGCCGGUAAGGAGACUGAACGAGGUAUUGGGAUACCGACGAUCGAGUCUCGGGCAUGUAACGUACCAAAUGACAAAGGGAAUUGUAUAUGGGUUGUUCGAAUCCUCGACAUCGUGGUUCAUCCAAUGAGAUCAUCGAGGAGCAUGUGGGAGCCAACAUGGGUAUCCAGAUCCCGCUGUUGGUUAUUGCCCGAGAGCCGUCUCGGUCAUGUCUACGUGUCUCCCGAACCCGUAGGGUCUACACACUUAAGGUUCGGUGAAGCUAGGGUUGUAUGAAUAUGAGUAUGCAGUAUACCGAAUGUUGUUCGGAGUCCCGGAUGAGAUCCCGGACGUCACGAGGAGUUUCAUAAUGGUCCGGAGGUAAAGAAUUAUAUAUAGGAAGUGGUAUUUCGGCCAUCGGGAAAGUUUCGGGGUCACCCGGUAUUGUACCGGGACCACCGGAAGGGUCCCGGGGGUCCACCGGGUGGGGCCACCCAUCCGGGAGGGCCCCAUGGGCUGAAUUGGGAGGGGAGCCAGCCCAUAGUGGGCUGGUGCACCCCCCUAGGCCCACCCCCUGCGCCUAGGGUUGAAACCCUAGGGUGGGGGGGGGGGACGCACCACAUGCCUUGGGGGGCACUCCUCCCCCCUUGGCCGUCGCCCCCUUGGGAGAUUGAAUCCCCCAGGCCCCCCCUGGGGGCCUAUAUAAAGGGAGGGGGGGGGAGAGGGGCAGCUGCACCCUGAAGUCCUGGCGCCCCCUCCCCUGCUACACCUCUUCCUCCUCCGUCACGCGCUUGGCGAAGCCCUGCCGGAGUGCUGCUGCUCCACCACCACCACGCUGUUGUGCUGCUGCUGGAGCCAUCAUCAUCAACCUCUCCUUCCCCCUUGCUGGAUCAAGAAGGAGUAGACGUCAUCCGCUCCAUACGUGUGUUGAACGCGGAGGUGCCGUCCGUUCGGCGCUAGGAUCUCCGGUGAUAGGAUCACGACGAGAACGACUACUUCAAUCCCGUUCUUUUGAAUGCUUCCGCUCGCGAUCUACAAAGUGGUAUGUAGAUGCAUCUCCCUUGACUCGUUGCCUAGAUGAACUCAUAGAUGGAUAUCCAUCUUGGUGAAACCGUAGGAAAUUUUUUAAUUUUCUGCAACGUUCCCCAACAGUGGCAUCAUGAGCUAGGUCUAUGCGUAGUUCUCUAUUGCACGAGUAGAACACAAUUUAGUUGUGGGCGUAGAUCUUGUCAACUUGCUUGCCGCUACUAGUCUUAUCUUGCUUCAGCGGUAUUGUGGGAUGAAGCGGCCCGGACCAACCUUACACGUACGCUUACGUGAGACCGGUUCCACCGACUAACAUGCACUAGUUGCAUAAGGUGGCUGGCGGGUGUCUGUCUCUCCCACUUUAGUUGAAGCGGAUUCGAUGAAAAGGGUCCUUAUGAAGGGUAAAUAGAAGUUUACAAGAUCACGUUGUGGUUAUUCGUAGUUAAGAAAACGUUCUUGCUAGAACCCAAUUGCAGCCACGUAAAAGAUGCAACAACAAUUAGAGGACGUCUAACUUGUUUUUGCAGCAAUUGUCAUGUGAUGUGAUAUGGCCAGAAGUUGUGAUGAAUGAUGAAUGAUAUAUUGUGAUGUAUGAGAUCAUGUUCUUGUAAUAGGAAUCACGACUUGCAUGUUGAUGAGUAUGACAACCGGCAGGAGCCAUAGGAGUUGUCUUUAUUUUGUAUGACCUGCGUGUCAUUGAAGAACGCCAUGUAAAUUACUUUACUUUGUUGCUAAACGCGUUAGCCAUAGAAGUAGAAGUAGUCAUUGGCGUGACAACUUCAUGAAGACACGAUGAUGGAGAUCAUGAUGAUGGAGAUCAUGGUGUCAUGCCGGUGACGAAGAUGAUCAUGGAGCCCCGAAGAUGGAGAUCGAAGGAGCUAUAUGAUAUUGGCCAUAUCAUGUCACUAUUAUAUAAUUGCAUGAGAUGUUUAUUAUGUUUAUGCAUCUUGUUUACUUAGAACGACGGUAGUAAAUAAGAUGAUCCCUUACAAAAAUUUCAAGAAGUGUUCUCCCCUAACUGUGCACCGUUGCUAAAGUUCGUCGUUUCGAAGCACCACGUGAUGAUCGGGUGUGAUAGAUCCUUACGUUCACAUACAACGGGUGUAAGACAGUUUUACACAUGCAAAACACUUAGGGUUAACUUGACGAGCCUAUCAUGUACAGACAUGGCCUCGGAGCACGGAGACCGAAAGGUCGAACACGAGUCGUAUGGAAGAUACGAUCAACAUGAGAAUGUUCACCGAUGAUGACUAGUCCGUCUCACGUGAUGAUCGGACACAUCCUAGUCGACUCGGAUCGUGUAACACUUAGAUGACUAGAGGGAUGUCUAAUCUGAGUGGGAGUUCAUUAAAAUAAUUUGAUUAGAUGAACUUAAUUAUCAUGAACUUAGUCUAAAACUUUUUGCAUAAUAUGUCUUGUAGAUCAAAUGGCCAACGCUCAUGUCAACAUGAACUUCGACGCGUUCCUAGAGAAAACCAAGCUGAAAGAUGAUGGCAGCAACUAUACGGACUGGGUCCGGAACCUGAGGAUCAUCCUCAUAGCUGCCAGGAAACAACAUGUCCUAGAAGGACUGCUAGGUGACGCUCCCGUCCCAGAGAACCAAGACAUUAUGAAUGCUUGGCAGUCUCGUGCUGAUGAUUACUCCCUCGUUCAGUGCGGCAUGCUUUACAGUUUAGAACCGGGGCUCCAAAAGCGUUUUGAGCAACACGGAGCAUAUGAGAUGUUCGAGGAGCUGAAACUAGUUUUCCAAGCUCAUGCCCGAGUCGAGAGAUAUGAAGUCUCCAACAAGUUCUAUAGUUGUAAGAUGGAGGAAAAUAGUUCUGUCAGUGAGCAUAUACUCAAAAUGUCUGGGUUGCACAACUGCCUGUCCCAGCUGGACAUUAACCUCCCGGAUGAGGCGGUCAUUGACAGAAUCCUUCAGUCGCUCCCACCAAGCUACAAGAGCUUUGUGAUGAACUACAAUAUGCAGGGGAUGGUGAAGACCAUUCCUGAAGUAUUCUCGAUGCUGAAAUCAGCAGAGGUUGAAAUCAAGAAAGAACAUCAAGUGUUGAUGGUCAAUAAGACCACUAAGUUCAAGAAGGGCAAGGGUAAGAAGAACUUCAAGAAGGACGGCAAAGAUGUUGCCACGCCCGGUAAGCCAGUUGCCGGGAAGAAGUCAAAGAAUGGACCCAAGCCUGAAACUGAGUGCUUUUAUUGCAAGGGGAAGGGUCACUGGAAGCGGAACUGCCCCAAAUACUUAGCGGAUAAGAAGGCCGGCAACACCAAAGGUAUAUUUGAUAUACAUGUAAUUAAUGUGUACCUUACUAGUACUCGAAGUAACUCCUGGGUAUUUGAUACCGGUGCCGUUGCUCAUAUUUGUAACUCACAGCAGGAGCUGCGGAAUAAGUGGAGACUGGCGAAGGACGAGGUGACGAUGCGCGUCGGGAAUGGUUCCAGAGUCGAUGUGAUCGCCGUCGGCACGCUACCUCUACAUUUACCUACGGGAUUAGUUUGAACCUUAAUAAUUGUUAUUUGGUGCCAAGUUUGAGCAUGAACAUUGUAUCUGGAUCUCGUUUGAUACGAGAUGGCUACUCAUUUAAAUCCAAGAAUAAUGGUUGUUCUAUUUAUAUGAGAGAUAUGUUUUAUGGUCAUGCUCCAAUGGUCAAUGGUUUAUUCUUAAUGAAUCUCGAAUGUCAUGUUACACAUAUUCAUAGCGUGAAUACCAAAAGAUGUAAAGUUGAUAACGAUAGUCCCACAUACUUGUGGCACUGCCGCCUUGGUCACAUUGGUGUCAAGUGCAUGAAGAAGCUCCAUGCUGAUGGACUUUUAGAGUCUCUCGAUUAUGAAUCAUUUGACACAUGCGAACCAUGCCUCAUGGGCAAAAUGACCAAGACUUCGUUCUCCGGAACAAUGGAGCGAGCAACCAACUUGUUGGAAAUCAUACAUACCGAUGUGUGCGGUCCAAUGAGUGUUGAGGCUCGCGGAGGAUAUCAUUAUGUUCUCACUCUCACAGAUGACUUGAGUAGAUAUGGGUAUGUCUACUUGAUGAAGCACAAGUCUGAGACCUUUGAUAAGUUCAAGGAAUUUCAGAAUGAAGUAGAGAAUCAACGUGACCGAAAGAUAAAAUUCUUAUCGGAUCGUGGAGGAGAAUAUUUAAGUCACGAAUUUGGUACACACUUAAGAAAAUGUGGAAUCGUUUCACAACUCACGCCGCCUGGAACACCUCAGCGAAACGGUGUGUCCGAACGUCGUAAUCGCACUCUAUUGGAUAUGGUGCGAUCUAUGAUGUCUCUUACCGAUUUACCACUAUCAUUUUGGGGACACGCUCUAGAGACAGCUACAUUCACUUUAAAUAGGGCACCGUCUAAAUCCGUUGUGACGACACUGUAUGAAUUAUGGUUUGGGAAGAAACCUAAGCUGUCGUUUCUAAAAGUUUGGGGAUGCGAUGCUUAUGUCAAGAAACUUCAACCUGAAAAGCUCGAACCCAAGUCGGAAAAACGCGUCUUCAUAGGAUACCCUAAAGAAACCAUUGGGUAUACCUUCUACUUAAGAUCCGAGGGCAAGAUCUUUGUUGCCAAGAACGGAUCCUUUCUGGAAAGGGAGUUUCUCUUGAAAGAAGUAAGUGGGAGGAAAGUAGAACUCGAUGAAGUACUACCUCUUAAACGGGAAAGUAGUGCAGCUCAGGAAAAUGUUCCUGUGAUGCCUACACCAACUGAAGAGGAAAAUAAUGAUGAAGGUACUUCGGAUCAAGUUGCUACUGAACUUCGUAGGUCCACAAGGACACGUUCCGCACCAGAGUGGUACGGCAACCCUGUCCUGGAAAUCAUGUUGUUAGACAACGGUGAACCUUCGAACUAUGAAGAAGCGAUGGCGGGCCCAGAUUCCAACAAAUGGCUAGAAGCCAUGAAAUCCGAGAUAGAAUCCAUGUAUGAAAACAAAGUAUGGACUUUGACUGACUUGCCCGAUGAUCGGCGAGCGAUAGAAAACAAAUGGAUCUUUAAGAAGAAGACGGACGCGGAUGGUAAUGUCACCAUCUAUAAAGCUCGACUUGUCGCUAAGGGUUAUCGGCAAGUUCAAGGGAUUGACUACGAUGAGACUUUCUCUCCCGUAGCGAAGCUUAAGUCCGUCCAAAUCAUGUUAGCAAUUGCCGCAUACUAUGAUUAUGAGAUAUGGCAGAUGGACGUCAAAACGGCAUUCCUUAACGGGCAUCUUAAGGAAGAACUGUAUAUGAUGCAGCCGGAGGGUUUUGUCGAUCCUAAGAAUGCUAACAAAGUAUGCAAGCUCCAGCGAUCCAUUUAUGGGCUGGUGCAAGCAUCUCGGAGUUGGAAUAUUCGCUUUGAUGAAAUGAUCAAAGCGUUUGGGUUUAUGCAGACUUAUGGAGAAGCCUGCAUUUACAAGAAAGUGAGUGGGAGCUCUGUAGCAUUUCUCAUAUUAUAUGUAGAUGACAUACUUUUGAUGGGAAAUGAUAUAGAAUUCUUGGACAGCAUUAAGGCCUACUUGAAUAAGUGUUUUUCAAUGAAGGACCUUGGAGAAGCUGCUUAUAUAUUAGGCAUCAAGAUCUAUAGAGAUAGAUCGAGACGCCUCAUAGGUCUUUCACAAAGCACAUACCUUGAUAAGAUUUUGAAGAAGUUCAAAAUGGAUCAGUCCAAGAAGGGGUUCUUGCCUGUAUUGCAAGGUGUGAGAUUGAGCUCGGCUCAAUGCCCGACCACGGAAAAAGAUAAAGAAGAGAUGAGUGUCAUCCCCUAUGCCUCAUCCAUAGGAUCUAUUAUGUAUGCCAUGCUGUGUACCAGACCUAAUGUAAACCUUGCCGUAAGUUUGGUAGGAAGGUACCAAAGUAAUCCCGGCAAGGAACACUGGACAUCGGUCAAGAAUAUCCUAAAGUACCUGAAAAGGACGAAGGACAUGUUUCUCAUUUAUGGAGGUGACGAAGAGCUCGUCGUAAAGGGUUACGUCGACGCUAGCUUCGACACAGAUCUGGAUGACUCUAAGUCACAAACCGGAUACGUGUAUAUGUUGAAUGGUGGAGCAGUAAGCUGGUGCAGCUACAAGCAAAGCGUCGUGGCGGGAUCUACAUGUGAAGCGGAGUACAUGGCAGCUCGGAGGCAGCGCAUGAAGCAAUUUGGGUGAAGGAGUUCAUCACCGACCUAGGAGUCAUACCCAAUGCGUCGGGGCCGAUCAAACUCUUCUGUGACAACACUGGAGCUAUUGCCCUUGCCAAGGAGCCCAGGUUUCACAAGAAGACCAGGCACAUCAAGCGUCGUUUCAACUCCAUCCGUGAAAAUGUUCAAGAUGGAGACAUAGAUAUUUGCAAAGUACAUACAGAUCUGAAUGUCGCAGAUCCGUUGACUAAACCUCUCUCGCGAGCAAAACAUGAUCAACACCAGAACUCUAUGGGUGUUCGAUUCAUCACAAUGUAACUAGAUUAUUGACUCUAGUGCAAGUGGGAGACUGUUGGAAAUAUGCCCUAGAGGCAAUAAUAAAAGCAUUAUUAUUAUAUUUCCUUGUUCAUGAUAAUUGUCUUUUAUUGAUGCUAUAAUUGUAUUAUCCGGAAAUCGUAAUACACGUGUGAAUACAUAGACCAUAACAUGUCCCUAGUGAGCCUCUAGUUGACUAGCUCGUUGGUCAACAGAUAGUCAUGGUUUCCUGAUUAUGGACAUUAGAUGUCAUUGACAACGGGAUCACAUCAUUAGGAGAAUGAUGUGAUGGACAAGACCCAAUCCUAAGCAUAGCACAAGAUCGUGUAGUUCGUUUUGCUAGAGCUUUUUCAAUGUCAAGUAUCUCUUCCUUAGACCAUAAGACCGUGUAACUCCCGGAUACCGUAGGAGUGCUUUGGGUGUACCAAACAUCACAACGUAACUGGGUGACUAUAAAGGUGCACUACAGGUAUCUCCGAAAGUGUCUGUUGGGUUGACACGGAUCAAGACUGGGAUUUGUCACUCCGUAUGACGGAGAGGUAUCUCUGGGCCCACUCAGUAAUGCAUCAUCAUAAUGAGCUCAAAGUGACCAAGUGUUUGGUCAUGGGAUCAUGCAUUACGGUACGAGUAAAGUGACUUGCCGGUAACGAGACUGAACGAGGUAUUGGGAUACCGACGAUCGAGUCUCGGGCAUGUAACGUACCGAAUGACAAAGGGAAUUGUAUACGGGGUUGUUCGAAUCCUCGACAUCGUGGUUCAUCCGAUGAGAUCAUCGAGGAGCAUGUGGGAGAUAACAUGGGUAUCUAGAUCCCGUUGUUGGUUAUUUCCCGAGAGCCGUCUCGGUCAUGUCUACGUGUCUCCCGAACCCGUAGGGUCUACACACUUAAGGUUCGAUGACGCUAGGGUUGUAUGAAUAUGAGUAUGCAGUAUACCGAAUGUUGUUCGGAGUCCCGGAUGAGAUCCCGGACGUCACGAGGAGUUUCGGAAUGGUCCGGAGGUAAAGAAUUAUAUAUAGGAAGUGGUAUUUCGGCCAUCGGGAAAGUUUCGGGGUCACCCGGUAUUGUACCGGGACCACCGGAAGGGUCCCGGGGGUCCACCGGGUGGGGCCACCCAUCCCGGAGGGCCCCAUGGGCUGAAGUGGGAGGGGAGCCAGCCCUUAGUGGGUUGGUGCGCCCCCCUAGGCCCACCCCCUGCGCCUAGGGUUGAAACCCUAGGGUGGGGGGGGGGGCGCACCACAUGCCUUGGGGGGCACUCCUCCCCCCUUGGCCGCCGCCCCCUUGGGAGAUUGAAUCUCCCAGGGCCGGCGCCCCCCCUGGGGGCCUAUAUAACGGGAGGGGGGGGGAGAGGGGCAGCCGCACCGUGAAGUCCUGGCGCCCCCCUCCCCUGCUACACCUCUUCCUCCUCCGUCACGCGCUUGGCGAAGCCCUGCCGGAGUGCUGCUGCUCCACCACCACCACGCCGUUGUGCUGCUGCUGGAGCCAUCAUCAUCAACCUCUCCUUCCCCCUUGCUGGAUCAAGAAGGAGGAGACGUCAUCUGCUCCGUACGUGUGUUGAACGCGGAGGUGCCGUCCGUUCGGCGCUAGGAUCUCCGGUGAUAGGAUCACGACGAGAACGACUACUUCAACCCCGUUCUUUUGAACGCUUCCGCUCGCAAUCUACAAAGUGGUAUGUAGAUGCAUCUCCCUUGACUCGUUGCCUAGAUGAACUCAUAGAUGGAUCUUGGUGAAACCGUAGGAAAAUUUUUAAUUUUCUGCAACGUUCUCCAACACAUCCAUCAAUACCUUCGUUAGUCGAGUGCCUUCGAUGACCGGGUCGACCACCAGUGCUUGCCUCCCAGGGGUGGCAAUAUGAGUAGGAUGGUCUGACUGGUCGAAAGUAAUGGGAGUUUGCGACCAUCUCAGAUAGUUUGGUGUCGCUGGUGCGACUAUAUUGACUUCACGGUUGAUCACUUUCAGUCGACUUUUGCUCUCUACAUCAGCAAAAAUCAUCAGAGUGGAGUUGACAUGAGGGUACUCUCCAUCACUGUCCUGCUUGUCCUCAGCCUUGUCCGACUCCUUCUCUUUGUCCUUCGGCUGUUUCCCUUGGAACUGCUGGAUUAAGAGCCGGCACUGGCGAGUGGUAUGCUUUGGGUAGACGAAGUUACCCUCUUCGUCUUUCUUCGUGUGGAUAUGACACGGCAGGUCCAUCACAUCAUUACCCUCCUUAUCUUUUACCUUCUUGGGGUUCCAAGAUCCUUUGGGCUUCCCUUUAAAUUUGCCCUGUGUCACGGCUAGAGCCUCUCCGGGAGCUGCUGGCUCGGCCUUCCGCUUUUGCUUCCGACUGGAGUUUCCUUUAUCCGACUGGCUCGACUUGUACUUGCCGCUCCGGAGUCGGUCCUCUUCUUCGCUGUUGGCGUACUUGGUGGCUAUUUCCAUCAUCCGACUCAGGGUCAUGUCUCCAGUUCGACCAAACUUCAGGCUCAACUCUCUGUUCUUGAUACCAUCUUUGAAGGCGCAAACCGCUUGAUGGUCUGACACAUUCUCUACAGUGUGAUGCAAAGUGAUUCACCUCUGGAUGUAAUCCCUCAGUGUUUCACCCGACUUUUGUACACAAACUUGUAGCUCAGUCAAUCCAGCAGGUCGCUUGCAAGUUCCCUCAAAUGUCCUGACGAACACUCGAGAAAGAUCUUCCCAGGUGUAAAUGCUGCUGGGAGCUAACUGAUUCAACCAUGCCCUGGCCGAACCCCCUAGCAUAAGUGGCAAAUGUUUCAUGGCCACCUCAUCAUUACCGCCACCAAUCUGAACAGCCACUCGGUAGUCUUCGAGCCAAGUUUCAGGCUUAGACUCUCCGGUGAACUUAUUCACCCCAGUCGCCAACCUGAAGUUGGGGGGUAUCACUGCGGCUCUGAUCGCUCUGCUAAAACAUUCUGGACCUGAAACGUGGACUCGGCUGCUUGUGGGCACAUCUCUGUCAUGACCACCUCUAUGAGCUCUGUUUCGGUCGACCAAACCUUGCACGAUGAUGGAUCUCGCGUCAAAGCCUGGCUCUCUGGGGUCGACUGGACCUCUCCACCCAACACUGAGCUGGCGUCUGUCAUCUUGCUGCCGAUGGGCGUUAGACCCACUUCUCAGAGGAGGAGCGGGCACUCGACGCCUGUCAUCAUGAUCAAAUCGAUCAUCAUAGUGGUCCUGCCGGCCUUCAUGUCCCAUGCACCUCGGAGGCGACCUUGGACUGUGAGCCGACUGAGCAGUAUUCGCAGCGACAGAUCGACUGUGAAUCCUAUUACGUGACUGUGACACAGCUGAAUUCUGAUCUCCUGCUGCCCGGAGCAAAUCUCUGAUCUGCAUCAAGCCUCUUCCAGCCUCUGACUAAGAGGGCUGAAUUGACUCCGCUAUGCGGGCUGCAGCUGCCAAAUUCUGAAUUGGGGUUCGAUAUACCUGAGUUGGUUGCGGAAAGAGCUGACGUCGAUUGGAGUUAGUCGCUCGUUGACGCGCACGCUCGUCGAGUGCUCGCUGAAGGUUCUCCAGUCGAGUGCGUUCAGCCAGGUUGGCUAAACGCGCCUCUUCCAGGGCACGAGCCUCAGGAGUUUCUCCUACAAUGGGAGUAUGCAGGGCAUCCAUGUUCCGGCGGCAAAGUUCUUCCCUCUGCUGGGAAGUGAGCGGCUCGGGUUGGUAUUCUUCAUGGGCUUGAGCAGGGUCGUCCUCGUCGUCCAUCCCGUCGCCGCGGGGGAAACCGGGAGGACUACGGGGUCCGUUGACCAUCAGGACCUCCGCCGCUGGAUCACUGCUAUCGCACUCGGAUGCAGUCUCUACGAAGCCAGUCGACAGGUCGAACAGGCCGUAGAGAGAUUCGUCGGGCUCAAUCGCCGCGACUUGGGUGGUGGCCGAUUGGCGAGCCACUGCGUGUCUCACCCAUCGCUAGAGCCUCGACCGACCGGAGCGCUUGCGCUGGCGGGAAACAGGGAGGGAGGACGGCGCAGGAGUCGACCGGUAUGGGGUCGACGGCUGCCGCAGCAAGACGCCGCGGACACACGCCUGAAAGUGCGUCGCCCCGCGGACGGGGAGCGCGUCAAUGUCGAGUGGUGCCUCCUGGAGCCAAGCGGAGUCGUCGGCGAUGAAAGUGAGCGCACCGAGACGGAUCUCGUGGCCCUCGACCAGAGCUCCGCCGGAAACCAUGAUGAAGGCGAUCGGACAAAUUGGAACUUCUCCAAAAAAGUCGCUAAGACACCUGCCCCACGGUGGGCGCCAACUGUCGUGGUUCUAAGUCUGACAGUAGAAUGGGGGGUAAGUAUGGAAAGGCAAGGUCCUAGCUAUGGAGUAGUUGUACACACGGGUGUUUAGCGAGUUCAGGCCCUUCUCGAAGGAGGUAACAGCCCUACGUCUCGGAGCCCGGAGGCGGUCGACUGAUCUCUGUGUAUAUGAGUUACAGGGGUGCGAACCCUUCUAACAGUUGAGGGGGGUGGCUUAUAUAGAGGUCGCCAGGACCCCAGCCAACCCAGGUAGAGGAGGGUUAAAGUACAUUAAGGUCGGGCGUUACUGGUAACGCCCUACAUAAAGUGUCAUCAUGACCAUUAAGACUACUUCAUUACAGACCGUUUGGAUACAGUAUAGGUCUUGACUUCUGAUGGUCGAGUGUGUCUUCAUGGUCGAGUGGAGCUUCUCUUGGUCGAGUGGAGCUUCUCUUGGUCGACUGGAAGGUAGCUUUGUGUGAUGAUGUCCUUGGGUAUGGUAUCCUAGAUAGGUCCAUGACCCUACCCUAGGUACAUAACCUCAUCAGCCGCCGAGGACGCCGCUGCUGCCACCAAAGAUGCGGCCUCUUCAUGGCCUACUGGAGGGUAUACCUCGUUUAUCCCGCUCCUGAUUAAUUUCAUAUUAGCAGUACUAGCAGUAUGUGUAGAUUUGUCUACUGUUUGCUUAGUACGUGCAUGUUUAGAUCAAAGUCAGUACGUUAUCAACUUAGUCAAUGCCAUGCUAGUGAUUUACUCGUGGAUUAAUUUAAUCGAGAAAUUGCCUAUUUACUCAACAAUCCAAAAACCUAUUAUGUGUAGGAAUUUUUCGGCAAGUGGCUUUGCCGCAGCACUGAAACCGGAUAAGUUUACCGGUACGUAUUUUAAGCGUUGGCAGACAAAGACCACUUUAUGGCUCACGGCUAUGAACGUGUUCUGGGUCACCGGUGUGUCCACGGGAACGAUUGCUCCUGAACAGGAGAAGGCGUUCAGGGAGGCAACCACUGUGUUUCUCGGAGCAGUUCUUAGCGUGAUCGGAGAUAAACUGGUCGACGCAUAUUUACAUGUGCAUGUCGCCAAGGACUUGUGGGAGGCGCUCGAAUCUAAGUUCGGGGCCGCCGAUGCAGGGAGCGAGAUGUAUAUUAUAGAGCAGUUCCACGAUUACAAGAUGGUUGAGAACCGUCCUGUACUGGACCAGGCUCAUGAGAUAAUAUGCAUUGUUAAGGAGCUUGAGCUUCUGAAGUGCGAGUUACCGGGCAAGUUUGUCACGGGCUACAUAAUCGCUAAGCUCCCCAAUUCCUGGAGGAAUUUUGCCACCACUCUGAAACAUCAGAGGCGUGAAUUCUCUGUGGAGGAUGUCAUUGGCCAUCUGAGUGUUGAGCAGAAUUCGAGGGCAAAGGACUCGCACGGAAAAGGGGCCGAAGGGACUUCUGUUGCCAACAUGGUGAACCAGAGGAACUUCAACUCCCACAAGUUCAAGGGAAAGAACGGUGUCCAACAGAAUACCGACUUCAAGAAGAAGGGUAAGAAGACCUUCAAGAAGAACAAGAAGGAUGAGGGCUGCUUUACUUGUGGUUCGACUGAACAUUGGGCCAACAAGUGCCCAAACAAGUUUAAGAAGUCAGGACAGGACUCCAAGUCUGUCAACAUGAUUGUGGGCAACAAUGAGAAUGGUGCAUCUGGGUACGGCAAUUUAUUUACUGUUUUUUCAGUGUUUCAGCCUACCGAUUGGUGGGUGGAUACAGGUGCAGGUGUUCAUGUGUGUGCUGACAUUUCAUUGUUCUCUUCUUACCAGCUCACAGGCCACGGGUCCGUAUUGAUGGGGAAUGGCGCGAGUGCUUCUGUUCAUGGUGUUGGCACGGUCGAUCUGAAGUUUACUUCGGGAAGGAUCGUGCAACUGAAGAACGUGCAGCAUGUCCCCGCCAUUAAGAAGAACCUCGUUAGUGGCUCCCUUCUAUGUAGAGAAGGGUUUAAGUUGGUAUUCGAGUCUAAUAAAUUAGUUGUUACUAAGUAUGGACUAUUUGUUGGAAAAGGUUAUGAGAACGGAGGGAUGUUCCGUCUUUCCCUCGCAGAUUUCUGUAAUAAAGUCGUGAACCAUAUUCAUUCGAGUGUUAAUGAAUCUGAGGUUUGGCAUUCACGUCUUUGUCACAUAAGUUUUGGUGUUAUGACGCGGCUAGCUAAGUUGGAUUUAAUCCCGAGUUUCACUUUAGCCAAAGGUUCUAAGUGUCUGUCAUGUGUGCAAGCUAAGCAACCUCGCCAGCCUCACAAGGCUGCGGAGGAGAGACACUUGGCACCAUUAGAACUCAUACAUUCUGAUCUUUGUGAGAUGAACGGUGUAUUGACUAAAGGUGGAAAGAAAUACUUCAUGACAUUGAUAGAUGAUUCCACUAGGUAUUGCUAUGUGUAUCUGUUAAAUACUAAAGAUGAGGCUCUACACUACUUUAAAAUCUAUAAGGCAGAAGUUGAGAAUCAACUUGAAAAGAAAAUUAAACGAUUCUGUUCAGAUCGUGGUGGAGAGUACUUCUCGAGUGAGUUUGAUUCCUUCUGUGCGGAACACGACAUUAUUCAUGAGAGGACGCCUCCCUAUUCACCCCAGUCAAACGGGGUUGCCGAGCGGAAAAACCGUACUCUAACGGAUCUGGUUAACGCCAUGUUAGAUACGUCGGGUUUAUCCAAGGCAUGGUGGGGGGAGGCUAUAUUGACGGCAUGUCAUGUCCUGAAUAAAGUUCCGACAAAGGAUAAUGAGAUCACUCCCUAUGAGAGAUGGGAAAAUAGAAGGACAACACUCUCGUACUUGCGUACUUGGGGCUGUUUGGCGAAAGUCAACGUGCCGAUCCCCAAAAAGCGUAAUCUUGGACCCAAGACUGUGGACUGCGUUAAUUUGGGCUACGCUAAGAACAGCGUUGGCUAUAGAUUUCUAGUAGUGAAAUCUGAGUUACCUGACCAGAAGGUCGGUACAAUCAUAGAGUCUAAGGAUGCUACAUUCUUUGAGGAUAUUUUUCCUAUGAGAGAUAUGCAAAGCACUUCUAGACAUGAAUCUGAGGAGACUCCUGAGCCUGCCAUUCCUAUGGAAUAUUAUGAACGAACACAUGAUGAAAAUCCUGAGGAGGAUGACGAGGAAACCCUUGGUAGGGGCAAGAGACAAAGGAAUGCAAAGACCUUUGGUGAUGAUUUCUUCGUGUACCUCGUGGAUGAUACUCCCACUUCUAUCUCAGAAGCGUAUGCCUCUCUAGAAGCUGACUACUGGAAGGAUGCGGUCCGUAGCGAGAUGGAUUCCAUCAUGGCUAAUGGGACAUGGGAGAUCACUAAGCGUCCCUAUGGUUGCAAACCAUUGGGAUGUAAGUGGGUGUUCAUGAAAAAGCUUAGGCCCGAUGGUACGAUUGAAAAGUACAAGGCCAGGCUUGUGGCCAAGGGCUAUGACCAGAAAGAAGAGGAAGAUUUCUUCGAUACUUAUUCACCUGUGGCUAGACUGACCACCAUUCAAGUAUUACUCUCGUUGGCGGCCUCACAUGGUCUUCUCGUCCAUCAAAUGGAUGUUAAGACGACAUUUCUGAAUGGAGAGCUAAAUGAGGAAAUCUACAUGCAACAGCCAGAUGGCUUUGUGAUAGAUGGUCAGGAAAGGAAGGUGUGUAAGUUACUGAAAUCUUUAUAUGGCCUGAAGCAAGCACCUAAGCAAUGGCAUGAUAAGUUCAAUACAACUCUGACAUCUGUUGGUUUCGUUGUUAAUGAGGCUGACAAAUGUGUAUACUAUCGCCAUGGUGGGGGCGAAGGAGUUAUACUGUGCUUGUAUGUUGAUGACAUACUGAUAUUCGGAACAAACCUCAAAGUCAUUGAGGAGGUCAGAUCGUUUCUGUCUCAGAACUUUGAGAUGAAGGACCUUGGUGUGGCUGAUGUUAUCUUGAACAUCAAGCUACUAAGAGAUAAUAAGGGUGGGAUCACACUUCUGCAAUCCCAUUAUGUUGAGAAGGUGUUGAGUUGUUUUGGAUAUUCGGACUGCACAUCAUCUCAAACACCAUAUGAUCCUAGCGUGUUGAUUCGAAAGUCCAAAGGCAUGGCUAAAGAUGAAUUGAGAUACUCUCAAAUCAUUGGUUCACUGAUGUACCUAGCGAGCGCAACGAGGCCUGACAUCGCGUUUGCUGUGAGCAAUCUGAGCCGGUUUGUUUCCAAACCGGGUGAUGUACAUUGGCAUGCUGUUGAAAGAGUUAUGCACUAUCUGAAAGGUACUAUGAACUAUGGACUUCACUAUACCAGAGACCUGUCGGUACUUGAAGGGUAUAGUGAUGCGAAUUGGAUCUCUGAUGCUGAUGAGAUGAAGGCCACAACUGGGUAUAUGUUUGCUCUUGGAGGUGGCGCUGUUUCCUGGAAGUCUUGCAAGCAAACGAUCUUAACGAGAUCGACAACGGAAGCAGAAUUAACAGCAUUAGACACUUCUGGUGUUGAAGCAGGAUGGCUUCGAGAUCUUUUGAUGGACUUGCCACUGGUUGAUAAACCGGUUCCGGCUAUCCAUAUGAACUGUGACAAUCUGACUGUCAUCACCAAGGUGAAGAGUUCAAAGGACAACAUGAAGUCCAACAAACACAUAAGAAUGAGAUUAAAAGCUGUCAGAAAAUUAAGAAACUCCGGAGUGAUAGCGCUGGACUAUGUCCAUACGGCUAAGAAUCUGGCAGAUCCCUUUACGAAAGGGCUAUCAUGUGUAAUGAUAGAUAGUGCAUCGAGGGAGAUGGGUAUGAGACCCACAUGAGUUGCCAUGGUGGUAACCCAACCUAUGUGAUCGGAGAUCCCAUGAAGUAGGGCCUGGGAAACAAGCCAGUGGUGAACUGAGGAGAGUAACUUUACUAACCCACUCCGUUGGAGAUGCAAUACUCUCGGAAACUGUAUGGAAGGAUGACUAUUGUCUUAAUGUGUUCCAAGGCUUAUAUGUAUAAGCAAGAUGCUAUCCUACAGAGCGAUCUUUGGAGGAACACACCUAUGUGAGCCCGACUGCUAGUCACAGCCUAUGAAAUUGGGGUGAUCUAUAGUAAGCUCAUGAAUAGGCCAGGAGUGUGACUUAUAUGCUCCACCCGAGGGGUCAGCCUUCGGCAGCCUAGUACUAGUAAGACAUGUGGUGAAACUUCUUUACGCCAAACUGACAAUUCAAGGCGUAGUCCAUUGUUCAGUUGUGAAGGAGUGUAGCUACUUGCUCUAGGUGAAGCUCAACCUUAACAGGUCUUCACUGAAAUGCUAGUAUAUCAAAACAGCGUUUGGAACAAAGGACAAAGUGAGCCCCUGAGAUCUGGUGGGGGAUUGUUGAAAUGUGAGAUGGGCCUAAAGCCCAUAUAACAAUUUCAGAUUUGAUCUCUAAGGGCCCAUGUAGGUGGCAUGACAAGGUGGUGGGAAGUUUAGUCCCACCAUGCUAGUGUAAGGAAAGUUGGAGUGGUUUAUAAGGGUGUCUCUUCUACAUGCUAUUGGAGCUUGAGAAGAGAAGAGGCCCUCGCGCGCUCCUCCUCCGCCGCCCGCCUCGCCGCGCCGCGCCGCGGCGCGGCGAGGUUGCGGGAAUGAGCCGAGCCGAACUCACACCUAUGCGCUUAUUUUUGCCAGUCACUAACGAAGAGGUUCUGACAGCAAGCCCACGUCUCUCCACGCGGCUGCGUCUAUAUAAGUGUGUUGUGUCCCCUAACCCUAGCCGCCAUGAACAAAUCACAUCUGCUCACGCGCACGCCCACCGUCAUUCCUUUGCUGCUGCUGCCGCCGGUGACUCCAUCCCGUCCGCCCGUACACGGUCGACGGGAGAGCAGGUCUCCGAAACCACGCCCUUCUGGUUCCUGUACGGGGUGAGGGGCGAAUAGGUUUUUGGGCAGCGAUUACGCGACUGCUCGCUUCCGAUCGUCUACUUCCUCUACGUCCGCGUCGCCUUCAUCAUCACCAUGUCCACCGACCCCGACCGCGCCGCCGCCGAGAAAGCUGAAGCCGACAAGAAGGCCGCCGAGGACGCCGCUGCUGCCACCAAAGAUGCGGCCUCUGCAUGGCCUACUGGAGGGUAUACCUCGUUUAUCCCGCUCCUGAUUAAUUUCAUAUUAGCAGUACUAGCAGUAUGUGUAGAUUUGUCUACUGUUUGCUUAGUAUGUGCAUGUUUAGAUCAAAGUCAGUACGUCAUCAACUUAGUCAAUGCUAUGCUAGUGAUUUACUCGUGAAUUAAUUUAAUCAAAAAAUUGUCUAUUUACUCAACAAAGCUUGUGUGGUGCAGCUCGCUCCGACCCAAGGCCGCAGGCAGCGUUCCACUCGUGCGCGCGCCGGCGCCCCGCCCGUGGAUUGCCGACUGGAUCGGGCACACGUUUUUCGAUAAUUGUACCGUCGCGAGAACGACGGCCGUUCCUGCGGUCGCGGUCAAGAUUCUCCGCACCGUUCAAUUCGAAUUAACUUCCUUCCGUCUCGUCUCAUCCCUGUCACGAUCGAGCCAGGAUUUAGACAGGAAAAGUGCGGAGAGACAGCAACGGGUUGGCAUAUUACCUUUCUCAUGUACUCUUUCCGUUCAAAAGGUUUGUUCCAACCUUGUCCCUCACAGGAAUGUAUCUAGCACCAAGAUUUUUGAGUCGGAGGGAAUACACUGUAAGAAGAUGUUUCGAAUCAUUUAAGAUAUCCACAACAUGCGUAAGAACUCACGAGCCAUCAGUUUAUGAUCUUUGCACAUUCUCCUGUCCCGCAGCCAUCGAGAUAACUGAUGAAAAUUUCUAAGUUAGGCCCUACCACGGAAGAAGAAAAAGAAACGAGAGAGAAUUGCAAGGACAUAAACAUUGAAGGGGGAAGUUUGUCACCAAGCCAAGGAAGUUAUCCCACCUUGUCUCCCGCAAAAUAUGAUUUAAUCAUCUUUGAUGAGAUUGUUUCAAUUACUGACUCUUGCGCCUUAUAACUUAUUAUUGCUAUUGAAUUGAUGUACGAGAAAAAUUUGGUGCUGUCUUGUAAAGAACUUAUUGUAUCCAUCAUUUAAUAAUAGUGGAAUAAGAUUUGGGUGGGAUCGCACGGUGGUUCCUACCCCAACUUCGUGGUCCCCGCAUUAAAAUUUCGUGUUCAUAUGUGUUAUUACUGUAGUUUGGAGUGGUUUGCGGGGCCUCAGACAAUUUCUAGGCAUUGCUUGAAGCUUUCUCAAGACCUAAGAUGCCUUCAUAGGUGUGGCUUUCGCCAGGUCCUCCAUAUAUGUAUAUGCAUGUUUUCCUCCCAUAUGAGCAAUGGCCAUUCGAGUUAGUGCAUGAAGUAGCCUUGAAAUUAUACAUUGAUCUCGCUGGAGUUUCCAGAUUACCACAAAAUAUGUGCUAAUUUCAAGCACACCAGUGAAGACACAUGAUGAAAAUAAAUAGAGUGAAUCAACCUAGAAUAUUUCCGUGCCAUGGUGAAAAUUACAGCUUCUCCAGAUUUUUCCCAUAUCUGAUCGUAGACCGAGGUCCGAUCGUCCGAGAUAGCGAGGCUCUAAAUCCGAUCUAACAUCUCGUUCAGGAGUGUCUUGUCGGCUUCACCCAUAUCUUGACAUGAGGUUGGGCUUAGUUGAAGCUUGGUCGUGGUUCCAUCUGACACGACCUCGGCAGUUUCGCCAUCUGAACUCGACGUUCGGACCAGCUCGGCAAUGUUCGGCUCUGAGCUCAAGAAUAGAUCUGGUGAGUGCUCUGCGCCGUAGUCCCGAUACGAGAUCUCCUGGCGUCACCAGUGGCACACCAUGGUUCAGUGGUGCCCCUGGGUGACGCCUCCGGUUGUGCCCUAGGACGGCACCUCAAUACCCAGGUGCACGCGCACGUCUCCUGGUGUUCCCCUGCAUCGCCUAGACGAUGGUGGUUGACCGCACCGCAACUGCGGUCUGGUCGUGUCUCUGCUACGAUUCCAACUUCCUCAGUGAGCUCCUGUCCUUCCUCCUUCUCCCGAUGCUCAUGUCUGUGUUAAUGCAGUUGUCUGUUUGUUUCAAACUUUGACAGUUGCUGAUUUAGUUCAAUUUACCGAACUUGUUGUAGUUCAUUCAGUGUCUCUCGGUGCUUCAGUUUAGUUCGUACUUCAUUUUCCUUUCCAUUGGUCUGUUUAACCUUUUAUAUUACUCCCUCCGUCCCAAAAUUCUUGUCUUAGAUUUGCCUCAAUACGAAUGUAUCAAGUCACGUUUUAGUAUUAGAUACAUCCGUAUCUAGGCAAUUCUAAGACAAGAAUUUUGAGACGGAGGGAGUACUACUAUAUGUGUUAACAUACCACUAUUAGAAAAAGGCUGUUAGUGGCACACCUAUUUUUGCCAUUAAUGGUGCACUAUAGAUGCGCCACUAUUACCACGCCACUAGUAACAAAUACUAAUGGCGCACCUCUGGUGCGCCAUUAGUAUUGCAGGUAACAGUGGCGCACCUUGUAGUGCGCCAUUACUAUUGCUACAGGUGCGCCACUGGUAACUUUUUUUUGAAUUUUUUUUGUUUUGUUUUUUUUAAUUUUGAAGGCGGGAAAAUAGUAGUGGCGCACCGUCUAACCCCCACCGUGCGCCAUUGCUAUUUUUGAAUUUUGAAUUUGGAUCUGGAUCUAGAUCUGGCUCAUUUUGUUGGCUUGUUUUUUUGCUUGAAUUUUUUUCAAAUUUUGUUCUCGACCUGGAUCUAGUAUGUUCUUUGUGCCGGGGGAGCUCCACAUGUGGCCGGAAGUAGAGGAGGAGGGAGGAGAGACCGUAAGGAGGAGAGGAGGGAGGAGAGACUGUGAGGAUCAGGAGAGGAGGGAGGAGGAGGUCGCCAGAGAGGAGGAAGAGGACCGUGAGCAGGAGAGGAAGGAGGAGCACCGUGAGGAGGAGAGGAGGGAGGAGGAGGUCACCGGAGGAGGAGCACCGUGAGGAGGAGGUCACUGGAGGAGGAGCACCGUGAGGAGGAGGAGGUUGCCGGAGAGGAGGAGAUGGCGUGGAGGAGAGGAGGAGAUGGAGUGGAGGAGAGGAGGAAAGGAGGAGAGGAGGAGAAGAAUGAAGGGGUAAGUGUUGGCCGACCCUUUUAAACUUCUGUCCAAACUUAGCAGUGGCGCACCGUGCACUGGUGCGCCAUUGCUAUUUUUUUGAAUUGUGAAGGCCGGAAAAUAGUAGUGGCGCACUACUCACUGAUGCACCAUUGCUAUUUUUUUUGAAUUUUUUGCCUCAAGAUCUUAAAAGCCCCGUAUCUUUUAUUCUGUUAGGUUUUUGGGGAUUCUAAAAAUCUUCAACGGGGUUUCCCGGUUGAAUUCGGAUGUAACUUUUCGAGUAGAUGAUUUUUUAUAUAAAAAACUUUUUAAUCCGAGUUCGUAUGCAAAAGUUAUGCCCAUUUUACUAAAUUCCAGAGAGAUUUUACAAAUAAAGUCAAAAUUCAUAUUUGUAAAUUUUCCCAACAACUAGACCACAUAUCAUAUGGAAAACUUAUUUUCUUUUAUUCUUUUGACUUUUCCAUCAUUUUCUUUUAUUUUUUUUAAACUGAAAAGACGGUCCGGGGUAGGUGGGGUGUUUGUGUGCGUGAGAAGUUAGUGGUGGCGCACCGUGGUUGUGGUGCGCCAUUACUAGUUUUUUUAAAAAAGUAAAAAAAAAUGUUAGUAGUGGCGUACAGAGGGUGUGGUGCACCAUUACUAGUUAAAACUAGUAAUGACGCACUAUCCCCUGGUGCGCCAUUACUAGUUUAAAAAAAAUGUUAGCAAUGGCGCACCGUGGGUGUGGUGCGCCAUUAGUGAUAUGGCCACUAAUGGCGUACCUAUAUAUGAUGCGCCACUGCUAUAUAGCAAUGGACGCACCACAUACGUGGUGUGCCAUUAAUGUCCAUAUUAGCUAUAGCUUUUUUUAAUAAUGUACUAGUGCUACUGUUGUUGUAUAAGAAUGAACUACUACUAAUGUUAGCCCAUGUGUAUGUGGGUUCUCGUGUUACCUGCACAAAAAUACUAGGUGCAUGUGUUCUGCUCUUGCAGAUCAUUAUGGGGUGAUACUGAUGGUGAAGUUCUUCUAUUAACUUAGAUAGUUCUUUUCUUGUUUCUAUUUCCCUCUCUUCUACUAGUAUGACCUCUUUUUUCAAAUACAUGUUGAAACAUUUUUCAAAUAUAAAAAACUUUAUUUCAAACUAUGCAAAAAAAAGUGCAUUAGACAACAUUUUUUCAAAAUGUUCCGAUCACAUUUUUGAAACUCGUGAAGACUUUUUAAAAUGUGAUGUACAUUUGUUUUUUGAAUUACACAAACAUUUUUAUUGCAUUGCGUAAACAUUUUUUAAAAUGUUACAGAUAUUUUUUUGAAACGUGUUUUUUGUGCAUAUGAUUAACAUUUUUUGUAGACAUGAUUAAAAUAUUACUAAUUUUUUCAUUACUGUUAUACAUUUUCUGUAUACACUAGAAAUAUUUUUCCAUAGAAGUUUAACAUUUUACAUAUAAGAGAUUAACAUUUUUCAAAAUUUAGUGUAAAGUGUUUUUGUAAUAUAUAUAUUUAGAAUAUGUUUAAAUGUAUACACACAAAACUAAACACACAACACACACACACACACACACACACACACACACACACACACACACACACACACACAUAACGUCGGCAUGACUUCAGCGUAGUUGAGAUCCAAGCUAGUUCUUCGCGCCCCUCACAGCUCUCCCCCGUCCCAAGUCAACUACCCCAUCCCAGGAUCUCAAAUCCAAGUGCUGCAGGGGAGAUUGGACUCCCAUUUGGGCGGCUUCUCCAGUCCAGUUCUUGGGCAGUGGCAGCGGGGGCGGUGGAGGUGGCGGUGUUCUGUGGCGCCUGGGGAGGCGACACAAGCCCAGUCUCCGGCUGUGUGCGGUCGCCAUGGGUGACAGGAGGACCCCUGCUUUGGAAGGGCUAUAGGGGAAACUGCAGAGCUUGAAACUCUCAGAUGCAAAAAAGAGGAGCACAAAGAUUGGAAGGAAACAUGGCUGCUCGCUGGCGGUAGGAAAGCUACAGGCUGUGGGUAAGCUCUUCUCCGAAAGACCAGCUAAAGCAGAAUAUUUGGGAAAAACUUUAGGCAGCAUUUGGAGUCCCUUCACGGGUGUAGAAUGUAAGGACUUGAAUAGAAAUCGAUUCCUCUUCUCGUUCCAUGAUGUAGAAAGUAAGAGGAAGGCUCUGCAUAAUGGACCGUGGUCGUUUACUAAGGAGUUAUUAGUCAUGGAAGAUUUCAUGCCAAACAAAACGAUUGAUGACUAUGAGUUUAGGACUAUCCCCAUAUGGGUUAGAGCAUAUGGUAUUCCUAUGGGAAUGAUGAACUCAGAGGCAGGGGAGCUGGUGGGAGAAUAGAUUGGGGAGGUCCUGGAUAUAGACAUGGAUGACAAUGGAUAUGCAAUGGGCGAAUUUAUGAGAAUCAAAGUCCGAAUGGACAUAACCGUCCCAAUAAUGAGGUUCUCCACUUUAGAGUUUGGGGAGGAUGAAGGGGAACAAGUUCAGACAUCUGAAUAAAUAAUGGGAGUCGACAAGCACGAGAUGAAGGACAAUAUGGAGGAAAAAGAGAAGCUUAUCUCCCUCAAAUAUGAACAUCUCCCAGAUUUUUGUUAUAACUGCGGUAUUUUAAGUCACAAGGAGAAGUCAUGCCCGAUCAGAACCGGAAGACAGGGACAUAAAAAUUUUGGUCCAUGGCUGCAAGCAACUAUUCUCAGGAGUAGCUCCAGUGAAGAGAAAAGCAGGAGCUCAAAUGACAGAAGGGGUUUCUGGUUAACAAACAAUGCAGGCAGCAAUGGCAGCAAGCAGGGAAGUGAUGCUCCAUCUUGGAAGAGAAAUUCAUCACCGGAUAGGGAUAAUGAUAGGUCAAGGAAAGGUGAGGAGAAUGAAGUAGCAAGCCCCCUGAUAACGGUGCAAGAAAGCAAAACUCAGCCAGCUGAAGUAAGGAGGCCGUCUUUAGAGGAUAAUACACAAGUAUCCGAGACAAAGUGGAAUAAGGCAGAAGAUGACUUUGAACCUAGAAAUAGAAAUACUUCCGAAACAGUUUUAUUGCUAAUAGCUAAAGAGACUGCCAAUAAAAUUUUUUUGCCAGCGGAGGAAGUAAAUGAAGACAAGGAGAGGCCUCAUGUAAAGGUGGACGGACAGAAGAAGGAAAUCAAAGACCCAAAGAAGGUCAACAAUGCAAAACAAGGCACUUUCAAGCGCAUUCCGAGAGCAAAAAAUAAUCAUCAACAAGAUCAGAGCUUUGAAUUUGAAUUGAAAAAGAGGAGUGCUAUGCUGAUGGAGGUAGAUACAGAAGCCAAGCCUUCAAAGAGAACUAGAAUGGAGGUCGACGGUGAGAAUAAUGGAGAUGGUGAAAAAGAAGAAAAUAACAACUCUAAGAUUGUGAACGCUGGGCUGCAAGGACAGCCCGACGAACCAAAAUGAAAAUUACGGUUUGGAAUUGCCGGGGUUUGGGGAAUGACCCGACAGUUCGUGGACUUCUGGACCUCCAAAGGCGGGAGGAUCCCGAUAUCCUCUUCCUAUCCGAGACCAAGACGGAUGAGAAGAGGAUGAGUUGGAUUAAGUAUUUUCUACGUAUGCCAAAUAUGGUUGUAAGAGGCAGUGAAGGUAAGAGUGGAGGGCUAGCUCUGUUAUGGAAGAAACAUGUUAAAGUGGAGUUACACAACUACCCAAGAUACCAUAUCGAUGUGGAGAUAGUGGAGCAAGAUGGUUUUAGAUGGAGGUUUACGGGCAUAUAUGGAGAACCCGCCACUGAAAAGAGGGAGAUAACAUGGAAGCUUCUGAGAAACCUCUACUGCGAGCUUAAUNNNNNNNNNNNNNNNNNNNNNNNNNNNNNNNNNNNNNNNNNNNNNNNNNNNNNNNNNNNNNNNNNNNNNNNNNNNNNNNNNNNNNNNNNNNNNNNNNNNNNNNNNNNNNNNNNNNNNNNNNNNNNNNNNNNNNNNNNNNNNNNNNNNNNNNNNNNNNNNNNNNNNNNNNNNNNNNNNNNNNNNNNNNNNNNNNNNNNNNNNNNNNNNNNNNNNNNNNNNNNNNNNNNNNNNNNNNNNNNNNNNNNNNNNNNNNNNNNNNNNNNNNNNNNNNNNNNNNNNNNNNNNNNNNNNNNNNNNNNNNNNNNNNGACUUGGGCUAUUUAGGUGACAAGUACACAUGAAGAAACCACAGUCAGUGUGCCAGCAAAUAUGUUAAAGAGAGACUAGAUAGAGCAGUGGGAUCCCUAAGUUGGUGUGAUAGGUUUCCAUCUUAUCAGGUGAUAAUUGGGGACCCACGACACUCGGAUCACCGCCUUGUGACCAUUCUAGUGGAGGAGAGAAAUGGAGAAGCGAGAGAUCAAAGGGCCCGUAGGCGGUUCAGAUUUGAAGCGAAGUGGUUACAAGAAGAAGGUUGUGAAGAGAUUAUCAGUAAUGCUAAGGCAGUUGCCUCCCUUCGAGGGGAAUAUGAUCUAUCAAAAAGACUAAUGAAGGUAGGGAGAGAUCUUCAGAACUGGGAUUCCGAGGUACUAGGUGACUUGGGCAAAAGAAUUAAAGCGAUCAAAGUGGAACUGGAGAAAGUCAGAAGGGCCCCAAUUGAUCAGAAUACAGUGUCCCAAGAACACUUCCUGCGCGAGAAGCUGGAUAGGUUGGAGCAGCAACAAGACAUAUUUUGGAAACAUAGGGCUCAUGUUAAUGGUUACAAGCAGGGGAUAAAAACACAUAUUUUUUCCAUGCUUGGGCAUCUGAAAGGAAGAAGAAUACCAUAAAGGGGCUUAGAAGGGAAGAUGACAAUUGGAUUGAGGGUGAUAACUGUUUAAAAGAACAUGUAGCAAGUUAUUUCUUAAACCUCUUCACCUCCACGACUGGUCCAAGCAGCGAACAAAUUCUACAAGAAGUGAUGCUAAGAGUAUCUAAGCAAAUGAACGAGAGCCUUUGUGCAGAGUAUACUGAAGGUGAAGUAAAAGAAGCAGUAUGGAGCAUUGGAGACCUUAAAGCAUCGGGGCCGGACGGAAUGCCAGCAAUUUUCUACAAAAGAUUUUGGCACAUCGUGGGUGAUAAGUUAACAACAGAAGUUCUAAACACUCUCAAAGGUGGUCAAAUGCCGGAGGGGUGGAAUGACACCAUGGUGGUUUUAAUUCCAAAAUCUGCUAACCCACAAAGCAUGAAGGACUUAAGGCCCAUCAACCUCUGCAAUGUUGUAUAUAAGGUGAUCUCUAAAGUAAUCUCAAAUAGACUGAAAAAUAUUUUGCCUAAUAUUAUAUCUCCCAAUCAAAGUGCCUUCGUUCCAGGACGUAUUAUAUCAAAUAAUUUACUUUUGGCAUAUGAGCUAACACAUUUUUUGCAGAGAAGAAGGAAAGGAAAACUUGGAUUCGCGGCGCUAAAAUUGGACAUGAGUAAAGCCUACGACCGGGUGGAAUGGAAAUUUUUGAGAGAAAUGAUGCUUAAGCUGGGGUUUACCUUUGACUGGGUGAAUCUGGUGAUGAAGUGUGUUACAACAGUGAGAUACCAAGUCAAGGUGAGCAAUGAUUGGACAGAGACAAUUAUACCCCGAAAGAGGUUUGAGACAGGGAGACCCUCUCUCACCCUACUUGUUCCUUUUAUGUGCCGAGGGCUUCUCAACUAUACUAUAUGAAGCUGAAAGGAAGGGCAUCUUGCAUGGUAUUAAGCUUUGUAGCAGCUCCAAGUGUGAGUCACCUCCUGUUUCACAGAUGAUUCACUGUUGUUUUUCGAAGCUAAUGCGAGCAAUGCUAAAGCUAUGGGCUCCAUAUUGGAGAAAUAUGAAUCUUGCUCAGGGCAAGUGGUUAAUAAAGAUAAUCAGCUAUCCUUUUUAGCAAGAAAACAAACCAAAGGCAGAAAAGAGAGGUGAUGGAAAUUAUGCAGAUACCAUCUGAAGGUCUCAAAGGAAGAUAUUUGGGAAUGCCAGCUCAUAUAGGGAAGUCAAAAAUAAGAACAUUCCAGUAUAUCAAGGAGAAGAUUUGGAAUAAAAUUCAGGGGUGGAAGGAAAGAUUGUUAUCGAAAUCUGGAAAGGAAGUACUUAUCAAGGCGGCAGCCCAGGCCAUACCUAUGUACACAAUGUCAUGUUUUGACUUAACAAAAUCAUUUUGCGAGGACCUCAGUUCCAUGAUAUGUGGGUAUUGGUGGAGCCAAAUGGAUAAAGUUAACAAGAUACAUUGGACAAGUUGGGAGAAGCUUUCUAAACCUAAGAGAGUGGGAGGACUUGGCUUCAGAGACCUAAAUCAUUUUAACAUGGCCAUGCUGGCAAGUCAAGCAUGGUGCCUCCUCCAACACCCUUCCUCCCUGUGUGCAAGAGUACUAGCAGCAAAAUACCAUCCAGGAAGCAGUAUAAUUGAAGCAACUCCGAGAAAAGGAAUGUCCUAUGCAUGGCGUAACAUCUUAAAAGGUGUUGAGCUCCUAAAAAAAGGCUUGAUUUGGCGAGUGGGAGAUGGCAGAAGCAUAAAUAUAUGGUCAGAUCCGUGGAUACCGAGAGGUAGUACCAGAAGAGUUACUUCUAUCAGAGGAAGACACAUGGUUUCGAAGGUGGAAGAACUAAUUGAUCCAACCACAAACACUUGGGAUAUGCAGCUCGUGCAGCAGACUUUCUACCCCGAGUACGCCGAGAUAAUUCUACUAAUCCCCAUCCAUGAUAACACUAGUGAUUUCAUCGCUUGGCGUUUUGAUAAGAAAGGAAUUUUCUCGGUAGAAUCAGCUUAUAAGGUGGCUGUGGAUAAUGCUGAACAAGAGUCAUCAUGGGGACAAGCGUCUAGUAGUUCUUGUAACAAUGAAGGGACACAUUUUAACUGGAAAAAACUUUGGGCCCUUCCCCUGCAAGGUAAGAUCUUGCACUUCUUGUGGCGCUUAGCAACAUACAACUUACCAUUAAGAAUGAAACUGAAGCACAGGGGUUUGGAUGUGGAUACUAGAUGCCCAAUUUGUUUUAGAUUUGAGGAGGUUGGAGGACAUUGCUUCCUGAAAUGGAAAGAUGUGAGAAAGGUGUGGGGGAUAGCCCAAAUGGAACAUAUUAGACUGAAAUUGUUGCCAUGCACUAAUCCUCAAUGCCUCCUGGAAGAAGUGUUUAAGCUAAAUGAAGAAGAAUGUCUGAAGGUGUGUACAUUACUUUGGUUAAUUUGGCACCAAAGAAACAAAGCCAAUGUAGGAGAUAAAAUUAAAUCCUCAUUUGAUAUUUUGUCCUCUAUUAGUCACCAUACUUAUGAAUACAGGAAUCUCAAGCCGAGGAGGAUGACCCAAAAGUAAGUAAAUAUUCAAAAAUGGACGCCUCCACCAAGUGAGUUUUUGAAAAUAAACACUGAUGUUGCAUUUCAUGAAGUUACACAUUCUGGAGGGCAGGGGUUCACUGUAAGAGAUGAUUGUAGAACGCUUAUAGCUGCAGGUGCAGGAAAUCUGGAACAUAUAUCUCUGAUGCCCUACAUGCUGAAACACUAGCACGCCCUACAUGCUGAAACACUAGAACUUUUAAACGCGAUUAAUGCAACAAUCAACAUGGGGUGUCACCAAGCAAUCUUUGAGACGGACUCCAUAGUAGUAUUGAAAAGCAAUCUCAAGUCAGGACUAUGACCUAGCGUCACUUGGAGCUCUGUUCCAGAAGAUAAAGUUUCAAAUGAGAGUCGACUUUGAUAAUGUAAAUCUUUAUGCGUGUCCAAGGUCUUGUAAUAAUGCAGCGCAUGCCUUAGCUGCACAUGGAACUAGUUUAGGGAAUGGCACUUAUGAGUUCUGGUUAGGCCAUUUCCCUAAUGCUGUAAUGAACUCUGUAGUGAUUUAACCAGCAGUUUAAUGUAAUGGAAUACCAUUUGUUCCCUUCACACACACACAAAAAAAACAGUAGAUGAACGCACAAGUGGCAACGCUAGAAUAAAUGUUGGACCGAAUUUCCUCUCCUAUCCGGUGGCGCAUCAAGCGGCAACGAACGAACGACGACGAUCGCGUGAGGCGCGCACGCACGUAGGGCCUGGACGUACGCCUCUGCAUGCGCGACUGACCCCUCACCGUUAACGCACGCAGAGGAGAGACGCACGAAUGAUCCAUAGACCAUAGAGCUAGCCGGCCGGUCAGACACGCGAUCCCGAGAUCGACAAGGACGAGGACGGCACAGAUGCGCAUGCGCCAUGACGUACGCCCGCAUACGGGGCAGAGGUCUCGAAAGCACGCGCUCCUACAGCUGCAUACCGGGAGGGACGGACAGACGGACGAGAUCGACGGUCGACAGCGAUCGAGUCGAGCGCGCUGACCUUUGAAAUUUGAAUACUGCGCUAGCCGGGCGAAAUACCUACAGUAGACAGUAGUACGUAGCUGGAGCCUGGCUUGUGUGGUGCAGCUCGCUCCGACCCAAGGCCGCAGGCAGCAGCGUUCCACUCGUGCGCGCGCCGCCCGUGGAUUGCCGACUGGAUCGGGCACAGGUUUUUCAAUGAUUAUACCGUCGGGAGAACAACGGCCGUUGCUCCGGUCGCGGUCAAGAUUCUCCGCACCGUUGGAUUGAACUAGCUUCGUUCCGUCUCGUCUCAUCCCUGUCCCGAUCGCGUCUACGAUCCAGCCAGGAUUUAUAUAGACUGGGAAAAGUGCGGGAAGACAGCAACGGGUUGGCAUAUUACCUUUCUCAUGUACGUUGUAAGAAGAUGUUUUUUUUUUCACGAGAAACUUUUAACCUAUUCAUCUUCAAUCAUGGCAGUAUAAGGAACGACAAAGAUGAUAAAAAUUACAACCAUGUCUGUGGACCACCUACCGACGACUACAAGUAUUGAAGCGAGCCGAAGGCGCGCCGCCAUCAUCACCCCUCCCUCACAGACGCCGGGCAAACCUUGUUAUAGUAAACGAUCGGGAAGUCGUCGUGCUAAGACCGCAUAGGACCAGCGCAUCAGCGUAGCAACCAACGCCGAUGAAGAAAGUCGUACAUCAGAAGGAUCAAACCUGUAAACACCCAAAUGAGACGAAUGAAGUCCGGAUCCAAACAAAUCCACCGAAGUAAGAAUCCACGAGCCAUCAGUUUAUCUUUAGAAAUUCUCCCAUCCUUCAACCACCGAGAUAAAUGAUGAAAAUUCUAAGUUAGACCGUACCGCAGAAUGAAAAAAAUACGAGAGAAAUGCAAGGACAUAAAUAUUGAAGGAGGAAGUUUGUUACCAAGCCAAAGAAGCUAGCUAUCCCACAUUGUCUCCUGCAGGAUAUGCUUCAUCACUUAUUCAAUUGAUGUACGAAGAAAAACUAGUGCUGCCUUGACAAGAACAUAUUGUAUCCAUCAUUUAAUAAUAGUGAAAUAAGAUUUGGGUGGGACCGGACGGUGGUUUCUUCCCCGACUUCGUGGUUCCUGCGUUAAAAUUUGGUGUUCAUAUGUUGAUGUUAUUACUGUAGUUCGGAGUGGUUUUCGGGACCUCAGACAAUUUCUAGGCAUUGCUUGAAGCUUUCUCAAGACCUAAGACACCGUCUUAUGUGUGGCUUUCGCCAGGUCCUCCAUAUAUGUAUAUGCAUGUUUUCCUUCCUCGUGAGCAAUGGUCAUUCAAGUUAGUGCAUGAAGUAGCCUUAAAAUUAUACAUUGAUCCCGCUGUAGUUUCCAGAUUACCAUAAAAUGUGUACUAAUUCCGAACACAUCGAUGAAGACACAUGAUGAAAAUAAAUAAACUGAAUCUACGAAGACUAUUACCGUGCCAUGGCCAUUCAACAUUAUCCAAUUAGUGCCAUCUCACUACUUUAUGCUUAUACUCCCUCCGUCCCGUAAUGUAAGACGUUUUUUGACACUACAAUAGAGUCAAAAAACGUCUUACAUUAUGGGACGGAGGGAGUAUAUAUUUAUUAUGAGGGUAAACUAUUUUUUAGCUUCAUAGAGAAUAAGUAGUGGUAGAUGCUUACAACGUAUAAUAGUUGAUGGCUUGGUGCCCUUGGCUUCGCACUGACCACAUUGUUCUAUCAGCGUGUUGCCAUCCCCACCUCACCGGUGUUGGCGAUUGCCACCUUCAGAGGUCUUCGUUACAUCCUCGUCCAUUCAUGCAUACAUGGUCUCUCUGUUCGUUUCUCUUCUCCUCGCUCUUCUCUCGUUGUAUGUUUGCUCAUCCAUAGGGAUGGCAGAAAUGGGCAGAAAUGUUGUCAUGCAGAGAAUGUAAAGAGAGACAGAUAAUACAAAGAACGUAAAGAGAAACAAAUAAUACAACACCUUAGAUGGCUAGACAUGAAGAUAAUGAACAUAUGAGUGAAAACUACGAAUUAAGAAAGGUUGGCUCUGAUUUAGCAAAAUCAACAGUUGUGACAUCAAAAUAUGCCAACAAUCUAUCAUUGCACGAGACUUUUGCUAAUUUGUAGUUAUCUAUUGUUUUUUAAUAUUCUUUACUUUAAAUUGCAUGAUUCACAAAAAUAAUAAUUGCACACCACUAUGGUGAAACCGAACUUUUUGAAGGUGUGCCACUUCUGCGAAGUAUACUACUAUAUGAAUUGACUUGGAGAUCCAUGACGGGUUGGGUAUUCAUACGAAUGCUUAGAAAUGUGAUUCUGGUUUAAAAAAGUUUCAGGUAACUCAUGAAUAGACAACACCUGUCAUUCUGUCAAUGCCCAUCACCACCCUUUUUUAACAUAGUAGAAUGAACGACAGGAAUUGACCAAAUCAAGAGUUUUGCAUAAUAUUAAUAUCUACUUAACUGGAUAGUAUAGUAUUGCAUAAUAAUAAUAUAAUAUCAAGGGAGUAUAGGUUUUUAUCUAGCCGAAGACCAGAGUUAACUAGUUGAUUACCACGCAAAAGAGAGAGUUAACUAGUUAAUUUUGGACCGGCUUAACCAGCGAAUGUCCGCUGGGCGGAUGGCAAUUGCGAACAAUUUUGAUGACAAUUGUGUUGGCCGAUGAUGGCAAAUUUUGUUAGCAAGCGUGGCAACUCUACCCAGUUCUGUUUUCCAUCAGGAUUUGCCGUGCUUGCAAACUAAAAUUGUCAUCCUCAUGACAAUAUAAAUUGUCAUAAAAAACAUUCGAAACUCCAUAGAGACAUGUUCCACUUGUAUAGGUCAAACAAAAUGAUCACCCAAAGUUAAUCUCUUUCUUUUGUGUCCCCCCCACACACACACUUACAUUUUCUGUUUCUAAUUUAGGAGCUCAACCUCCAAAUUUCAUUUUCAUGAAAUCGGUAAUACAAAGAACAUCCAACACACGCGCUUACAUGCAUGCAUAGAAUAGAUCUUCUUUCGUUUCACUUUUACAAUCUAAAUCAGCUAGGCGUGUGUGUGGGGUUGAGACGUCAAAGUAUAUGCAAAUUAAGCACCUGCAGCUCGAUCUGUGUAUGCGCGCGCAGAUUCCUCUCGGUUCUGCAUGCAAGCCGCUCCUGCUAGCUAGCUGCGCGCCUAGAGCUCACCUCCUACCGCCAGCCGCCGUCUGCGAGAAGAAGAAGGAAGCCGGCGUGGACUUGGCCGGGCUGAGCACCCGGUACCCCGCCGGCCGGACCUUGAUGUUCCCGCUGCCGGCGCGCUGCAGGCCGCAUAUGGGCGUCGACGGGGCCACGGCGGCCUCGCCAUCGUCGUCGUCCUGGACGUCGUGGUCCAUGUGCCAGAGCACGUCGAGGAAGGCGUCGACGGAGCAGGGCAGCGCGAGCGGCCCCUGCGCCGCGUAGCCGUACUCCUGCUCUGCGUCGUCGAGGAGGCGGCGGAAGAGCGGGUGGUUGGCGCGGUCGGCGCGCACCACGAACCGCUCCCGCUCCGGCCCAACGUACACCGAGAAGCACCCGGGCGCCACCGCCGCCGACGACCGGCCACCGCUGGCCAGCCCGGAUCGGCACCGCUCCAGGGUCCUCGACACCAGGCUCUUCCUCGCGCCCUUGCUCGCCGCCAUAUAUGCCGCCGGUGGACGUCGACCGACUCGAGACGGGGCUGGUGGCCAAGAGUGGAUGCGCCGGCCGGAUUGUAAGGAUGAUGGCAUGCAUGAGAGAGGGGGCCGGCCGGGUUAUGUGUAUAUAUAUGUGUACAAGCUAGGCAAGGUUGCCAAGGUAGGUGUAUAGGUAGCUAGCAGCUAGCAGAAGACGGAGGGCGACACGGCGUGCGGUGUGACAUGGUGGGCUAGCCCCAUUAGUUGACCUGACGCGAGGGCAUGCAUUGACUUAUGACUCGCGCGCCGUGAGCUGCAGCAGCGCAGGGUCAUAUGGUGCAGGACAGACCAGGACGAUCGAGGACGAGGAGGAAGGCAAGGUAGAGAUGUGCUCCUGCACUCUAAGUAAUAUAAUUAGGGUAAUUAACAACUGACUGAUUGCUGGGCCAGCUAAUUAACUAAGUGGUUAGCAAUAGAUACUCAGCUACUAUAUGAGUAGUAGUACUACUGGCGCAUCGACGGAGAAAAGGAAGCAAGUGGAUUUUGCGAUUGCAGCGGCUGGGGAAAAAGCUAAUCAGGGAAAGGUACGUGGUGUGGGGACUUAAUCCGGGUGGGAUAUAUCAAAUGGGCAAUAAUUGUCUUAGUUUAGUGGUGGACGCCAUGGUCAACGCCUUCCGAAUGUGAUGUGGAAGAAGCUCUGCAUCUGCAUGGCCAGGCUUUUGCUAUGCUACACAAGCACCAGCUCAGGAUCUCUUGUGCGUAAAGAUCCAUAUUUUCAGUGGGGAUUACAUUAUUAGGAGUAUAUUCCACUUUCAACUCUCGUGUUGUGACUUUGUGACAUCUUUUUAUCACAUUUCAAAAAUCUUGUCAGAUUCUGCACCCUAGUUGUGCUCUUGUAACCUGUAUUUUCACCUACUUCUGUUUUUACCCCCAAUGUUAAAGCUGAAUUCACUUCUUUUUAAAGAAGUACCCAUAUAUAUUAUGAAGGUUCAUAAGAAGUACUACAAAGCAUCCUAAACAUAGUAACUUUUACAUCGAGGACCAUGCACAACUGAGCGAGCAAUCCUGCCGCCAGAACGAGUCGCCGAUGCAUUGCUGUUGCUGCUCCCUUACUCGAGUUGGCUUGACUUUGUCGAUGGCAGCCGGGAAAUCUUCCUGACGUGCCCUUGAGGACCAACGACCCAGAAAGCAAUCGUUGACAUUGAACCCUUGAAUCGAUCUGAAGUGCCUGCCACCAAAUCUCAUCACAUGUUUUAGUUACACACGCACCAGUUAAUGGAUUUGUUCUGCACAAAGAUCGAUAUUCCAGUGAUGGUCAGUAUCUUCUACUUUCUACUCUAGUGUUGUGAGUUGUGACUUUGUGCAUAUUUUAUCACAUUUGCAAAAUCUUGUCAGAUUUGGUGACAUGUAUUUCUUACCUAAUUUUGUUUUUACCACAAACAAAAAGCUAAACCCACUUGUUAGGACGGUGGAGGCGGUUCGAAUACAUCCAACAACUCUAUCACGUCUUAGUUAGUUUGGUCGCCACGGCUGACACCAAUGGGUGUGUGGUGUACUGGUGUUUUGGUUCUCGUUAAUCGACGAUCUUGAUCUAGCGGAUUGUAACGAUAUGCUUCGGCUGACUUAACGGUUGUGGUGGCAAAUGGCGGUGUUAAGAAUUUUUUGGUCAUUGGCUCUCAUGUUUAGUGCAGUGUGCUCGUAUUUUUUUCCAGCCUGUAUGGUGAGAAAGCAAUGGUCCGACAAUCUAUCUUGUGAGGGUGUGUAUUUAGCCUUGGCAAAUUCAACGAUAUAAGGUUUUCACUUAUUGGGGUCGACAACUUAUACAUUCACAAUUUCCCGCAAAAGAAAACUUCUACAUUCACAAUAUUUGAGGUUUGUCUAGCUUGUGCAGGCUUAUGUUCUUGCAAUGUUUUUUCACCAAAGGCAUGGAAGAAAUAGUUAAGAUGUAAAAAGUACAACAAUAAACGACGACUUUGAAGUACCACGAUGUAAUUUUAUUUUAUCGGAAUGUUUGUUUCAGUGUCCUAAAUUUGAUGUACUUUAUUUGGUAACGCAAUAAAUAAUGUGUGGAAAAGGUAAACUCUAUAUGCCCAGAUUUAUUAGGAUAGAAGUCGGAGGAAAAAUAUACUCUUGAGUUAAUCAUACCGUUUUUCUUAGCGAGGCUGAUCGAUCCAGAUAUUUAGAUAUAUUUAGAUGAAGAUGUUUUCUUUGAAAUUUCUGUGGGGAGAUUUAUAUAGCCGAAGUACACGUGCCGAGAGAGAUGCAAUGACGUCCUUGUAAAUUAAGAUACUUCUGGAUAAGAUAACAAUAAGCUUGACAGUUCUCACAUACUCCAGAAAAUGACACUGGUUCUGAGUGUAAUAGAUUAAUAUGCCCCAGUAGGAACACACAGGAACGAAAACAACACACGGGUAUAUGAAAACCACAUAAUUCAUUGGAGUUCUUAUGUAUAAUUUUUAGAUUCCCUACAUAACAUUAGAGCAGAAGAGAAACCAAAAGGGCAGUUUGGGUGUCGUGUCACACAGGGAAGUAUUUCAACUAUUCAACUGGUUAGGGCUUCCUUGGUUCACCAGCUCGGUUAUUUUUCUCAUCAACUGACUGAGACCUUGGUACGUACUGGUGUAGGUGAGGGCUGGUGAUGGAUCGAAAUUGAUGUCGUCAUUUCGGUUGAAUUAACUACCAAUUGAUUAAUCCACCAAUCAAAUUGUUUAUUCUGCUGAAUUUAUCAAAUCCAGCAAUCCAUUUAUUUAUUCAUCAAUCAUAGAAGGCAUAUAGUAUUUCUGCUGAAUCGAUUAAACAAUCAAUCCAGUGUCCGAUCUAUGUGUUCAAAUAUGUCACUCUGAUGAACUAAACACUUAAUCAAGAAACCAAUUUAUUAUCAAAUACAUCUACCGUUGCUAUUGAAUUAAACCGGCAACAAAGUACUCCCUCCGUUUUUAUUUACUCUGCAUAUUAAAGUUGAUUGAAGUCAAACUUCGUAAAAUCUGACUAAGUUUAUAGGAAACAAUAUAAAUAUUUAUCAUAACAAAUAUAUAUGACGUGAAAGUACAUUCAAUAAUAAAUCUAAUGAUAUUAAUUUUUUAUUGUAUAUGUUCAUAUUUUUUAUUAUAAACUUUGUCAAAGUUUACAACGUUUGACUUUGACCAAAGCCAAUACACGGACUAAAUAAAAAUAGAGGGAGUAGUACUCCCUUCGUUCGGAAAUAAGUGGCUUGAUUUUAGUUUUCCGAACGGAGGGGUCAAGAAUUCAAUUUCUUUUUAUACGAGUCAUCCUUGUACUCGUUCAGCUAGUUGGUUAGGUAGGAAAGAGUAGUCUCAUCUCAACAUCAGAGAGAAAGUAAUGGAACAUCAACCUAAGCUAACGUGUGUUACUAACACAUAAAACAUGGAGUAUACUGCUCUACCCGUUGACCAGGACAAUUCCGUUCUUUGUCUUGUAAUCAACGUGUUUAUCACAUAUGGUCAAUCGAUUCUGGAACUACCUAUUCAAUCAAAUGAAAAAUAAUUCCAAGCUUUGACUUGUUUUCAAAAAGAGCAAAUAGAAUUCGCUCACUGGAUACCAAAUUGGAGUAUUAUAUGAUCAAUCAGAAUGCACCCAUCGAAUCAAGUAUUUCCAUAGUACUUCAAAUAAUAAACUUGUAGCUUUAUUUUCGGUAAUAGACAACUCAUAUAGUUGUCUUGUGGCCAUCUCGUUUUUUAAUCUCUCUCAAAAAUAAACCGCAUUAUUUUCUCUAAGAAGCUUGCAUAAUUACUUAGGAAAGUGUAGAACACAUUAUUUUGGCUACCUUCAUACAAGGUAUAUACAAUGAAACAAUGUGUCAAAAUGUCUUAAAAUCUACGCAUACACUAAAAAUAUGAGCAAAUCCCACAUUUUACCCCCAACUGUGACCUUGCGAUAACAUUUACCCUAUCUAAAAAAAUAUUGCAUUUUACCCCUUAGUAACAACCUUAACCUUGUGACAACAUUUGCCCCAUCGUAUUCUCUUGACCAAACUAACAAUGUUUGUGACGAUUACUUAAUUAGGAGUAUUAUUUCACUUUCUACUCUCGUGUUGUGACUUUGUGACAUAUUUUUACCUCAAGUGAGAAUCUUGUCUGACUUUUGCAUUGUAUUUGUGCUCUUGUGACAUGUAUUUCUUUACCUACUUUUGUUUUAUCCAUGGCAAAAAGUUGAACCCACUUAUUAGAAUGGCAUGAAAAUUGACGGUGGAUAACAUGAAAGCAUAAUUGUUAGUAGCGUACAAGAUUAUGCCAAAUCCUUUCAAAUUUCACUAAUUUUUGUGGAAUUUAUGAAAUGCGUUAAAUUAUUGCAAAUAGGUGUAGCUAGUUGCAAGGCACGGCUCCAGUGUGACCAUGUCAUCGCAGAUAUACCCUAACAUAUAUGAGAACGAGCUGUCUGCCUAGUCAGUUGGCACGACAUGUGCAUCCGAAUUACCAGUAAUGGUGAAAAUAAUAAAGUAGGAUAAAUAACGGUGAAGACAAUCAGUAUGCCACACUAGUUAGAUCGAUAAUCAGAUUAAGAGAGACACCUCCCCUCUUGCCACUAUGCAUGUUCCUUUGGUUCCCCUCUCCAUCGAUGCUCUUUCUAGCACCAUGAGGUCCCCCCCCCGCGUGUGUGUGUGUGUGUGNNNNNNNNNNNNNNNNNNNNNNNNNNNNNNNNNNNNNNNNNNNNNNNNNNNNNNNNNNNNNNNNNNNNNNNNNNNNNNNNNNNNNNNNNNNNNNNNNNNNNNNNNNNNNNNNNNNNNNNNNNNNNNNNNNNNNNNNNNNNNNNNNNNNNNNNNNNNNNNNNNNNNNNNNNNNNNNNNNNACAUCUCUUCAAAUUAUAGGAGGUUCAUCUAGUUUACUUUUUUUGCAGCUUUUUCACCAAAGAUAUGUAAGAAAGUCGAGAUGCAAGUGUUGAAACUAGAAAUGACGACUUUGAAUUACCCUGAUGUAUUUUUUUUGUUUUGUCAUGAAUAUUUGGUGCUAAUGUUUGUUUCAAUGUCCUCGAUAUGACAUGCUUGUCUUGGUUAUUUAAUAAAUCGGACCAUUGGCAAAAACACUGAAAUAUGUCAAGAUUGUUUAGGACAAAAGUUGGUAAAAAGAACAAAUAUACACAGUAAUUAAUGCCAUUUUGUCUUAGCGAGGUUGAUGACCCAGAUAUAUUUUCUUCAAAGUUUACAUGGAGAGAAAGUACACGUGUCAAGAGAGACUCAGUGCCGUUGCAAGUUUUUUUUUUUGAGGGGACAGUGCCGUUGUAAGUUAGGAAUAUACUUCCGGAUAAGAAUGAGCUUGGACAGACGACAGUGAUCCUGGAUACAAUAGAUUAAUAUACCUUUUUUUUAGAUUCCUAGCAGGAUGGUCUAAAAAAAUGCUAACAGGAUAAUAGAACAGGAGAGAAACCAGCAAUGCAGUUUGGGUGUCGUGUCACACAGGCAAGUAUCAACUGGUUAGAUUCCGUUCACCAGCUCGGUUGUUUUUCUCAUCAACCGACAGAGACAUUAGAAAUACUCCCUCUAUAAAGAAAUAAAAGAGCGAACUAGUGAUGUAAAGGCUCUUCUAUUUGUUUACAGAGGGAGUAUGUAGGAGCUUUUGAUGGAUCAAACUAGUGUGGUCACUUCCGUUGAAUCAACUAGUAACUGAUUAAUCUAGCAACCAAAUUGUUUAUUCUGUCAAAUUGAUCAAAUCCAGCAACCAAAUUGUUUAUUCUAUUGAAUUUAUCAAAUCCAGCAAUCAAUUUAUCUAUUCAUCAAUCAUCACAAGACAUAUACACAUUCCCGAUGAAUAAAUUGAACAGUCAAUCUGGUGUCCAGUCUAUCUAUUCAAGUAUGCCAUCUCUGUUUAAUAAACAGUUAAUCAACUAUCAGUUCAUUUAUCUAAUACAUGCCAUUCUGUUGUCUACAGAAUGAUUUGGUGCAUCGAUAAUUGAUUGAUCAUGCACUAGGCACAUAUAUAUAGGUACAAGGGGUGCGACCGGCAUCUUGUCUCCUAAGAUACACAUACAUACAGAGGGAGACAGACACUACAGGUACUGCAUACAAAACCCAGACCUACGUACAUGUACACAUGUUCAACACCCCCCGCAGUCGAAGCGUCGCCGGUGACGCAGAGACUGGAUCGAAAGCCCUCGAAGGUCGAGGUGGGUAGUCCCUUCGUCAUGACAUCGGCAGACUGCUGAUCGGUAGGCACAUGUAGAACACGAACACGACCAAGUGCGACGUGCUCCCUCCUCCCUGACGAAGUGGAUGUCGAGCUCAAUAUGCUUCGUCCGUCGGUGAUGGACAGGGUUGGCAGCAAGGUACACUGUGGAGACGUUAUCACAGUAGACGAGCGUCGCCUUGGUAACCUCACAUAGCAACUCCUGAAGUAGUUGUCGUAGCCAAGAGCACUCCACAACGGCGUUGGCCACGGCCCGAUACUCAGCCUCGGCGCUCGAUCGUGAGACCGUGGGUUGUCGUUUAGACGACCACGAAAUCAUAGAGGGACCGAGGUAGACGCAGUAGCAGGAAGUGGAGCGUCGAGUGUCGGGACACCCAACCCAGUCGGCGUCGGAGUAGGCGACAAGGCUGGUGUCAGGUGAUGCCGUCAGGGUGAGACCCAUGGCUGUGGUGCCACGUAUGUACCGAAGUAUACGUUUCACGAGAGCCCAAUGAGUGUCACGAGGAGCAUGCAUGUGAAGGCACACCUGCUGGACAACGUAUUGAAUGUCCGGACGCGUCAGUGUGAGAUACUGAAGCGCACCGACAAUGGAGCGGUAGAAGGGAGCGUCGGACGCCGGAGAACCCUCGACGACAGACACCUUAGCCUUCGUGUCGACAGGCAUGGGAGCAGGCUUACAGUUAAGCAUCCCCGCUCGCUCCAGAAGCUCGUAGGCGUACUUCUGCUGGUGCAGGAAGAAGCCAGUAGCCCGGCGCACGACCUCGAUGCCGAGGAAGUAGUGGAGAGCCCCCAAGUCCUUGAGCGCAAAUUCGGUGCCGAGGCGAGCUGUGAUCUGCUGAAGGAGUGCUGGCGAUGAUGCAGUCAGGAUGAUGUUGUCGACAUCAAGUAGGAGGUAUGCGGCGGCGGGGCCCUGGUGAUAGACAAACAGGGAGGCCUCGGAUCGUCUGGACCGGAACCCCUGUUGCUGAAGGAAGGUCGCGAUCCGCUGGUACCAGGCCCGAGGUGCCUGCUUCAACCCGUAGAGAGAACAGGAGAGCAAGCACACGUGGUCCGGAUAGUCAGUGUCGACAAAACCAGUAGGCUGCUGACAGAACACCUGCUCGUCGAGAUGGCCAUGCAGUAAAGCAUUAGACACAUCGAGCUGGUGGACUGGCCAGGCGCGAGAAACAGCAAGCUGGAGAACAGCGCGAAUCGUGCAUGGUUUGACAACCGGGGCGAAGGUGUCGGUGAAGUCCACGCCGGCACGCUGGCGGAAGCCGCGCAACACCCCCAUCGGGGCGAGUCUUGUGGUGGAAGACCCACUUGCCAGUGAUGACAUUGGCACGGGGAGGCCGCGGAACAAGCUGCCACGUACGGUUGCGCUGCAGGGCGUCAAACUCCUCAAGCAUCGCAGCUAGCCAGUUCGGAUCCCAAAGGGCUGCGCGAGCGGAGGUGGGGAGCGGAGACGGCGCCGAGGUAGAUGCAGCACACGCGUACUCGUCCGACGGGUAGCGCGUGCUUGGACAAAGUGCACCAGUCCGAGCCCGAGUGACCACACCGGUGAGGGGUGCGGCCGCAGCGAUGGGGGCCGCGGGGGCCGCGGUGGGGGCCUCGGCGGGGGCCGCGGCGACGGGGGCCACAGCAAGGGGCGCGGCGAUGGGGGCCGCCACAGGGGCCGCAACAGCAGGGGACGCCGGCGUAGGGAGCGCAGGCAGGGCUGAGUCCGGUGCACGGCUGGGCGGCACGCCAGAGGUGGAGGCAGGGGCGAGCCACGCCGCGGGAGACGCCAAAGGUGAAGAUACCUGCUGAAACGGGAACACCAGCUCAUCAAAGUACACAUGCCACGAAGUGAAAAUGCGGUGGGACACUGGAUCAUAGCACCGGUAACCUUUGGUGUUGGGAGGAUAACCAAGGAAAAUGCACGGAAGCGACUGGGAGCGAGUUUGUGAGGAGCAGUGGACGCGGUGCUAGGAUAACAGAGACACCCGAAGAUGCGAAGACCAUCAUAAGAUGGAGCCGCAUCGAAGAGGAGCUGGUGAGGAGUGUAGUUCCAGCGGGAACGAUAGGGGCGAAUGUUAAUAAGGAGGCUGGCGGUCGCGAGCGCGUCCGGCCAGAACCGAGGAGGCACGUAGGAGUGGAAGAGCAACGUGCGGGCACAAUCAUUAAGAGUGCAAAGGACGCACUCGGCGCGACCAUUCUGCUGGGACGUGUAGGGGCAGGUGAGACGAAAGAUGGUGCGGUGGGACGUAAGUAAAUUGCGGACGACGACAUUGUCAAACUCCUUGCCGUUGUCAGUUUGCAAGGCGAGAAUAGGACGACCGAACUGUGUGGUGACAUAUGAAUAAAAGGCUGUGAGUGUGGCAAGAGCGUCGGACUUGCGACGGAGAGGGAAUGUCCACACAUAAUGAGAAAAAUCAUCCAAUAUCACCAAAUAGUAUACAUAGCCCGUGUUGCUAGCAACUGGGGACGUCCAAACAUCACUAUGCAAUAACUAAAACGGAAAUGUGGAAAUGUUUGUAGACUUGCUAAAGGGAAGACGAACGUGCUUGCCAAGACGGCAAGCCUCACACGUGUGAUCGUCGACCUUAUUACAUGAGAAAGAAAAACUCUGAAGAAUCUGACGCAUAGCGGCGGAGUUGGGAUGACCGAGACGGGCAUGCCAAGGAUCGACACUAGCGGCGAAGGCGACAGGACGACGGUUGGUGGUGGCGCCGGAGGGAUGCACUGGGUAAAGCUCGUCCGGGCUGUCACAUCGGUGGAGUACCAUCUGUGUACGGGCGUCCUUCACAGAAAAACCGAUAUCGUCAAAUUCAACAGUGAUAGGAUUCUCACGGGCAAGGUGACGAACAGAAACAAGAUUAGUGACUAAGUCAGGAGACACGGGAACAUUAGACAUAUUGACAUGAGUAGAAGUAGAGGGAAAAGACAUAUGACCGACAUGUGUAAUGGGUAGGGAGGAACCGUUACCAACGGUGAUACGGGUGGGAGUAUGAACGGGAGUGGCAGACGUGAGGUUACCGGGAUGAGAAGUCAUGUGAGCGGUGGCGCCCGAGUCCAUGUACCAGUCACCACCGCCACCGUAGGAGCUUGGUGACGGGGCGGAGUGAAGGAAAUAUGCCCUAGAGGCAAUAAUAAAGUUAUUAUUUAUUUCCUUAUAUCAUGAUAAAUGUUUAUUAUUCAUGCUAGAAUUGUAUUAACCGGAAACAUAAUACAUGUGUGAAUACAUAGACAAACAGAUUGUCACUAGUAUGCCUCUACUUGACUAACUCGUUGAUCAAAGAUGGUUAUGUUUCCUAGCCAUAGACAUGAGUUGUCAUUUGAUUAACGGGAUCACAUCAUUAGGAGAAUGAUGUGAUUGACAUCACCCAUUCCGUUAGCUUAGCACACGAUCGUUUAGUAUGUUGUUAUUGCUUUCUUCAUGACUUAUACAUGUUCCUAUGACUAUGAGAUUAUGCAACUCCCGUUUACCGGAGGAACACUUUGUGUGCUACCAAAUGUCACAACGUAAUUGGGUGAUUAUAAAGGUGCUCUACAGGUGUCUCUGAAGGUACAUGUUGGGUUGGCGUAUUUCGAGAUUAGGAUUUGUCACUCCGAUUGUCGGAGAGGUAUCUCUGGGCCCUCUCGGUAAUACACAUCACUUUAGCCUUGCAAGCAUUGCAACUAAUGAGUUAGUUGCGGGAUGAUUUAUUUGGAACGAGUAAAGAGACUUGCCGGUAACGAGAAUGAACUAGGUAUUGAGAUACCGACGAUCGAAUCUCGGGCAAGUAACAUACCGAUGACAAAGGGAACAACGUAUGUUGUUAUGCGGUCUGACUGAUAAAGAUCUUCGUGGAAUAUGUGGGAGCCAAUAUGAGCAUCCAGGUUCCGCUAUUGGUUAUUGACCGGAGACGUGUCUCAGUCAUGUCUACAUAGUUCUCGAACCCGUAGGGUCCGCACGCUUAACGUUACGAUGACAGUUAUAUUAUGAGUUUAUAUGUUUUGAUGUACCGAAGGUUGUUCGGUGUCCCGGAUGUGAUCACGGACAUGACGAGGAGUCUCGAAAUAGUCGAGACAUGAAGAUUGAUAUAUUGGAAGCCUAUGUUUGGAUAUCGGAAGUGUUCCGGGUGAAAUCAGGAUUUUACCGGAAUACAGGGAGGUUACCGGAACCCCCCGGGAACAUAAUGGGCCUUGGUGGGCCUAGGUGGAAGAGAGGAGAGGCGGCUAGGGCUGGGGCGCGCGCCCCUCCCCCCCAGUCCGAAUAGGACAAGGAGAGGGGGGCGGCGCCCCCCCUUCCUUCUUCUCCUGCACUCCUUCCCCCUCCCAAGUCCUAAUCAACCUAGGAAAGGGGGAGGGAGUCGGCGUGCCCUCUCCCUUGGCCGGCCGCACCCCCCUUGCUCCUUUAUAUACGGGGGCAGGGGGCACCCCAAAGAGACAACAAUUGAUCGUUUGAUCUUUUAGCCGUGUGCGGUGCCCCCCUCCACCAUAGUCCACCUCGAUAAUACUGUAGCGGUGCUUAGGCGAAGCCCUGCGUCGGUAGAACAUCAUCAUCGUCACCACGCCGUCGUGCUGACGAAACUCUCCCUCAACACUCGGCUGGAUCGGAGUUCGAGGGACGUCAUCGGGCUGAACGUGUGCUGAACUCGGAGGUGUCGUACGUUCGGUACUUGAUCGGUCGUAUCGUGAAGACGUACGACUACAUCAACCGCGUUGUGCUAAUGCUUCCGCUUACGGUCUACGAGGGUACGUAGACUACACUCUCCCCUCUCGUUGCUAUGCAUCACCAUGAUCUUGCAUGUGCGUAGGAUUUUUUUUGAAAUUACUACGUUCCCCAACAGUGGCAUCCGAUCCUGGUUUUAUGUGUAGAUGUCAUAUGCACGAGUAGAACACAAGUGAGUUGUGGGCGAUAUAAGUCAUACUGCUUACCAGCAUGUCAUACUUUGGUUCAGCGGCAUUGUGAGAUGAAGCGGCCCGGACCGACAUUACGCGUACGCUUACGCGAGACUGGUUUCACCGCCACGAGCACUAGUUGCUUAAAGGUGACCGGCAGGUGUCUGUCUCUCUCACUUUAGUUGAACCGAGUGUGGCUACGCCCGGUCCUUGCGAAUGUUAAAACAACACCAACUUGACAAACUAUCGUUGUGGUUUUGAUGUGUAGGUAAGAACGGUUCUUGCUCAGCCCGUAGCAGCCACGUAAAAUUUGCAACAACAAAGUAGAGGACGUCUAAAUUGUUUUUUGCACGGCAUGUUGUGAUGUGAUAUGGUCAAGACAUGAUGCUAAAUUUUAUUGUAUGAGAUGAUCAUGUUUUGUAACCGAGUUAUAGGCAACUGGCAGGAGCCAUAUGGUUGUCGCUUUAUUGUAUGCAAUGCAAUCGCCCUGUAAUGCUUUACUUUAUUACUAAGCGGUAGCGAUAGUCGUAGAAGCAUAAGAUUGGCGAGACGACAAUGAUGCUACGAUGGAGAUCAAGGUGUCGCGCCGGUGACGAUGGUGAUCAUGACGGUGCUUCGGAGAUGGAGAUCACAAGCACAAGAUGAUGAUGGCCAUAUCAUAUCACUUAUAUUGAUUGCAUGUGAUGUUUAUCCUUUAUGCAUCUUAUUUUGCUUUGAUUGACGGUAGCAUUAUAAUAUGAUCUCUCACUAAUUAUCAAGAAGUAUUCUCCCUGAGUAUGCACCGUUGCGAAAGUUCUUCGUGCUGAGACACCACGUGAUGAUCGAGUGUGAUAGGCUCUACGUUCAAAUACAACGGGUGCAAAAUAGUUGCACACGCGGAAUACUCAGGUUAAACUUGACGAGCCUAGCAUAUAACAGAUAUGGCCUCGGAACACAGAGACCGAAAGGUCAAGCGUGAAUCAUAUAGUAGAUACGAUCAACAUAGUGAUGUUCACCAUUGAAACUACUCCAUCUCACGUGAUGAUCGUACAUGGUUUAGUUGAUUUGGAUCACGUGAUCACUUAGAGGAUAGGGAUGUCUAUCUAAGUGGGAGUUCUUAAGUAAUAUGAUUAACUGAACUUAAAUUUAUCAUGAACUUAGUACCUGAUAGUGUCUUGCUUGUCUAUGUUGAUUGUAGAUAGAUGCCCCGUGCUAUUGUUCCAUUGAAUUUUAAUGUGUUCCUUGAGAAAGCAAAGUUGAAAGAUGAUGGUAGCAAUUACACGGACUGGGUCCGUAACUUGAGGAUUAUCCUCAUUGCUGCACAGAAGAGUUACAUCCUGGAAGCACCGCUGGGUGCCAGACUUGAUGCAGAUGCUACUGAUGUCGUUAAGAACGUCUGGCAGAGCAAAGCUGAUGACUACUCUAUAGUUCAGUGUGCCAUGCUUUACGGCUUAGAACCGGGACUUCAACGACGUUUUGAACGUCAUGGAGCAUAUGAGAUGUUCCAGGAGUUGAAGUUAAUAUUUCAAGAAAAUGCCUGGAUUGAGAGAUAUGAAGUCUCCAAUAAGUUCUACAGCUGCAAGAUGGAGGAGAAUAGUUCUGUCAGUGAGCAUAUACUCAAGAUGUCUGGGUAUAAUAAUCACUUGAUUCAACUGGGAGUUAAUCUUCCGGAUGAUAGCGUCAUUGACAGAAUUCUCCAAUCACUACCACCAAGCUACAAGAGCCUCGUGAUGAACUAUAACAUGCAAGGGAUGGAUAAGACAAUUCCCAAGCUCUUCGCAAUGCUAAAGGCUGCGGAGGUAGAAAUCAAGAAGGAGCAUCAAGUGUUGAUGGUCAAUAAGACCACCAGUUUCAAGAAAAAGGGAAAAGGGAAGAAGAAGGGGAACUUCAAGAAGAACAGCAAGCAAGUUGCUGCUCAGGAGAAGAAACCCAAGUCUGGACCUAAGCCUGAGACUGAGUGCUUCUACUGCAAGCAGACUGGUCACUGGAAGCGGAACUGCCCCAAGUAUUUGGCGGAUAAGAAGGAUGGCAAGGUGAACAAAGGUAUAUGUGAUAUACAUGCUAUUGAUGUGUACCUUACUAAUGCUCGCAGUAGCACCUGGGUAUUUGAUACUGAUUCUGUUGCUAAUAUUUGCAACUCGAAACAGGGGCUACGGAUUAAGCGAAGAUUGGCUAAGGAUGAGGUGGCGAUGCGCGUAGGAAAUGGUUCCAAAGUCGAUGUGAUCGCGGUCGGCACGCUACCUCUACAUCUACCUUCGGGAUUAGUAUUAGACCUAAAUAAUUUUUAUUUGGUGCCAGCGUUGAGCAUGAACAUUAUAUCUGGAUCUUGUUUGAUGCGAGAUGGUUAUUCAUUUAAAUCAGAGAAUAAUGGUUGUUCUAUUUAUAUGAGUAAUAUCUUUUAUGGUCAUGCACCCUUGAAGAGUGGUCUAUUUUUAUUGAAUCUCGAUAGUAGUGAUACACAUAUUCAUAAUGUUGAAGCCAAAAGAUGCAAAGUUGAUAAUGAUAGUGCAACUUAUUUGUGGCACUGUUGUUUAGGUCAUAUCGGUGUAAAGCACAUGAAGAAACUCCAUACUGAUGAACUUUUGGAACCACUUGAUUAUGAAUCACUUCGUACUUGCGAACCGUGCCUCAUGGGCAAGAUGACUAAAACGCCGUUCUCCGGAACUAUGGAGAGAGCAACAAAUUUGUUGGAAAUCAUACAUACAGAUGUAUGUGAUCCGACGAAUGUUGAGGCUCGUGGCGGAUAUCGUUAUUUUCUCACCUUCACAGACGAUUUAAGCAGAUAUGGGUAUAUCUAGUUAAUGAAACAUAAGUCUGAAACUUUUGAAAAGUUCAAAAAAAUUCAGAGUGAAGUUGAAAAUCAUCGUAAGAAGAAAAUAAAGUUUCUACGAUCUGAUCGUGGAGGAGAAUAUUUGAGUUACGAGUUUGGUCUACAUUUGAAACAAUGCGGAAUAGUUUUGCAACUCACGCCACCUGGAACACCACAGCGUAAUGGUGUGUCCGAACGUCGUAAUCGUACUUUACUUGAUAUGGUGCGAUCUAUGAUGUCUCUUACUGAUUUACCGCUAUCAUUUUGGGGUUAUGCUUUAGAGAUGGCUGCAUUAACGUUAAAUAGGACACCAUCAAAAUCCGUUGAGAUGACGCCUUAUGAACUAUGGUUUGGCAAGAAACCAAAGUUGUCGUUUUUUAAAGUUUGGGGAUGCGAUGCUUAUGUGAAAAAGCUUCAACCUGAUAAGCUCGAACCCAAAUCGAGAAAUGUGUCUUCAUAGGAUACCCAAAGGAUACUGUUGGGUACACCUUCUAUCACAAAUCCGAAGGCAAGUGUUUUGUCGCUAAAUUCAGAGUUUUUCUAGAGAAGGAGUUUCUCUCGAAAGAAGUGAUUGGAGGAAAGUAGAACUUGAUGAGGUAACUGUACCUGCUCCCUUAUUGGAAAGUAGUUCAUCACAGAAACCGGUUCCUGUGACAUCUACAUCAAUUAGUGAGGAAGUUAAGGAUGAUGAUCAUGGAACUUCAGAUCAAGUUGUUACUGAACCUCGUAGGUCAAACAGAAUAAGAUCCGCACCAGAGUGAUACGGUAAUCCUGUUCUUGAGGUCAUGCUACUGGAUCAUGAUGAACCUACGAACUAUAAGAAGCGAUGGUGAGCCCAAAUUACGCAAAAUGGCUUGAGGCCAUGAAAUCUGAGAUGGGAUCCAUGUAUGAGAACAAAGUAUGGACUUUCGUUGACUUGCCCGAUGAUCAGCAAGCAAUUGAGAAUAAAUGGAUCUUCAAGAAGAAGACUGACGCUGAUGGUAAUUUUACUGUCUACAAAGCUCAACUUGUUACAAAAGGUUUUCGACAAGUUCAAGGGAUUGACUACGACGAGACCUUCUCACCUGUAGCGAUGCUUAAGUCUGUCCGAAUCAUGUUAGCAAUUGCCGCAUUUUAUGAUUAUGAAAUUUGGCAAAUGGAUGUCAAAACUGCAUUCCUGAAUGGAUUUCUGGAAGAAGAGUUGUAUAUGAUGCAACCGGAAGGUUUUGUCGAUCCAAAGGGAGAUAACAAAGUGUGCAAGCUCCAGCGAUCCAUUUAUGGACUGGUUCAAGCCUCUCGGAGUUGGAAUAAACACUUUGAUAGUGUGAUCAAAGCAUUUGGUUUUAUACAGACUUUUGGAGAAGCCUGUAUUUACAAGAAAGUGAAUGGGAGCUCUGUAGCAUCUCUGAUAUUAUAUGUGGAUGACAUAUUACUGAUUGGAAAUAAUAUAGAAUUUCUGGAUAGCAUAAAGGGAUACUUGAAUAAGAGUUUUUUAAUGAAAGACCUCGGUGAAGCUGCUUACAUAUUGGGCAUUAAGAUCUAUAGAGAUAGAUCGAGACGCUUAAUUGGACUUUCACAAAGCACAUACCUUGACAAAGUUUUGAAGAAGUUCAAAAUGGAUCAAGCAAAGAAAGGGUUCUUGCCUGUGUUACAAGGUGUGAAGUUGAGUAAGACUCAAUGCCCGACCACUGCAGAAGAUAGAGAGAAAAUGAAAGAUGUUCCCUAUGCUUCACCCAUAGGCUCUAUCAUGUAUGCAAUGCUGUGUACCAGACCUGAUGUGUGCUUUGCUAUAAGUCUAGUAGGGAGGUACCAAAGUAAUCCAGGAGUAGAUCACUGGACAACGGUCAAGAACAUCCUGAAAUACCUGAAAAUGACUAAGGAUAUGUUUCUCGUUUAUGGAGGUGACAAAGAGCUCAUCGUAAAUGGUUACGUUGAUGCAAGCUUUGACACUGAUCCGGACGAUUCUAAAUCGCAAACCAGAUACAUGUUUACAUUGAACGGUGGAGCUGUCAGUUGGUGCAGUUCUAAACAAAGCGUCAUGGCGGGAUCUACAUGUGAAGCGGAGUACAUAGCUGCUUCGGAAGCAGCAAAUGAAGGAGUCUGGAUGAAGGAGUUCAUAUCCGAUCUAGGUGUCAUACCUAGUGCAUCGGGUCCAAUGAAAAUAUUUUGUGACAAUACUGGAGCAAUUGCCUUGGCGAAGGAAUCCAGAUUUCACAAGAGAACCAAGCACAUCAAGAGACGCUUCAAUUCCAUCCAGGAUCUAGUCCAGGUGGGAGACAUAAAAAUUUGCAAGAUACAUACGGAUCUGAAUGUUGCAGACCCGUUGACUAAGCCUCUUCCACGAGCAAAACGUGAUCAGCACCAAGGCUCCAUGGGUGUUAGAAUCAUUACUGUGUAAUCUAGAUUAUUGACUCUAGUGCAAGUGGGAGACUGAAGGAAAUAUGCUCUAGAGGCAAUAAUAAAGUUAUUAUUUAUUUCCUUAUAUCAUGAUAAAUGUUUAUUAUUCAUGCUAGAAUUUUAUUAACCGGAAACAUAAUACAUGUGUGAAUACAUAGACAAACAGAUUGUCACUAGUAUGCCUCUACUUGACUAGCUCGUUGAUCAAAGAUGGUUAUGUUUCCUAGCCAUAGACAUGAGUUGUCAUUUGAUUAACGGGAUCACAUCAUUAGGAGAAUGAUGUGAUUGACAUGACCCGUUCCGUUAGCUUAGCACACGAUCGUUUAGUAUGUUGCUAUUGCUUUCUUCAUGACUUAUACAUGUUCCUAUGACUGAGAUUAUGCAACUCCCGUUUACCGGAGGAACACUUUGUGUGCUACCAAACGUCACAACGUAACUGGGUGAUUAUAAAGGUGCUCUACAGGUGUCUCCGAAGGUACAUGUUAGGUUGGCGUAUUUCGAGAUUAGGAUUUGUCACUCCGAUUGUCGAAGAGGUAUCUCUGGGCCCUCUCGGUAAUACACAUCACUUAAGCCUUGCAAGCAUUGCAACUAAUGAGUUAGUUGCAGGAUGAUGUAUUACGAAACGAGUAAAGAGACUUGCCGGUAAUGAGAAUGAACUAGGUAUUGAGAUACCGACGAUUGAAUCUCGGGCAAGUAACAUACCGAUGACAAAGGGAACAACGAUGUUGUUAUGCGGUCUGACCGAUAAAGAUCUUCGUAGAAUAUGUGGGAGCCAAUAUGAGCAUCCAGGUUCCGCUAUUGGUUAUUGACCAGAGACGUGUCUCGGUCAUGUCUACAUAGUUCUCGAACCCGUAGGGUCCGCACGCUUAACGUUACGAUGACAGUUAUAUUAUGAGUUUAUAUGUUUUGAUGUACCGAAGGUUGUUUGGAGUCCCGAAUGUGAUCACGUACAUGACGAGGAGUCUCAAAAUGGCCGAGACAUGAAGAUUGAUAUAUUGGAAGCCUAUGUUUGGAUAUCGGUAGUGUUCCGGGUGAAAUCGGGAUUUUACCGGAAUACCGGGAGGUUACCGGAACCCCCCGGGAACAUAAUGGGCCUUAUUGGGCCUAGGUGAAAGAGAGGAGAGGCGGCUAGGGCUGGGCCGUGUGCCCCUCCCCCCCAGUCCGAAUAGGACAAGGAGAGGGGGGCGGCGCCCCCCCCCUUCCUUCUUCUCCUCCACUCCUUCCCCCUCCCAAGUCCUAAUCCAACUAGGAAGGGGGGGGGGAGUCCUACUCUCGGUGGGAGUAGGACUCCUCCCGGCACGCCCUCUCCCUUGGCCGGCCGCACCCCCUUGCUCCUUUAUAUACGGUGGCAGGGGGGCACCCCAAAGAGACAACAAUUGAUCGUUUGAUCUUUUAGCCGUGUGUGGUGCCCCCUCCACCAUAGUCCACCUCGAUAAUACUGUAGCGGUGCUUAGGCGAAGCCCUGCGUCGGUAGAGCAUCAUCAUCGUCACCACACCGUCGUGCUGACGAAACUAUCCCUCAACACCCGGCUGGAUCGGAAUUCGAGGGAUGUCAUCGGCUGAACGUGUGCUGAACUCGGAGGUGCAGUACGUUCGGUACUUGAUCGGUCGGGUCGUGAAGACGUACGACUACAUCAACCGCGUUGUGCUAACGCUUCCGCUUACGGUCUACGAGGGUACGCAGACUACACUCUCCCCUCUCGUUGUUAUGCAUCACCAUGAUCUUGCGUGUGCGUAGGAUUUUUUUUGAAAUUACUACGUUCCCCAACACAGAGUGUAGAGCAGCGAGAAGGGCCGGGUCCCACGACGGCGGCACCUGAGGAGGGUAAAACCCUCCGUAGGCGGGCGCAGGAGCUGCAUCGAAGGCCAACGCAGCAGCAGCGCCGUAGGCGGGCGCGGCCUGAUGUCUACUACGCAACCUUCUUCUUGUAGACGUUGUUGGGCCUCCAAGUGCAGAGGUUUAUAGGACAGUAGCAAAUUUCCCUCAAGUGGAUGACCUAAGGUUUAUCAGUCCAUGGGAGGCGUAGGAUAAAGAUGGUCUCUCUCAAACAACCCUGCAACCAAAUAACAAAGAGUCUCUUGUGUCCCCAACACACCCGAUACAAUGGAAAUUGUAUAGGUGCACUAGUUUGGCGAAGAGAUGGUGAUACAAGUGCAAUAUGGAUGGUAGAUAUAGGUAUUUGUAAUCUGAAAAUAUAAAAAAAGCAAGGUAACUAAUGAUAAAAGUGAGCGCAAACGGCAUUGCAAUGCUAGGAAACAAGGCCUAAGGUUCAUACUUUCACUAGUGCAAGUUCUCUCAAGAAUAAUAACAUAAUUGGAUCAUAUAACUAUCCCUCAACAUGCAAAAACGAGUCACUCCAAAGUCACUAAUAGCAUAGAACAAACGAAGAGAUUAUUGUAGGGUACGAAACCACCUCAAAGUUAUCCUUUCUGAUCAAUCUAUUCAAGAGUCUGUAGUAAAAUAACACGAAGCUAUUCUUUCCGUUCAAUCUAUCAUAGAGUUCGUACUAGAAUAACACCUUAAGACACAAAUCAACCAAAACCCUAAUGUCACCUAGAUACUCCAAUGUCACCUCAAGUAUCUGUGGGUAUGAUUAUACGAUAUGCAUCACACAAUCUCAGAUUCAUCUAUUCAACCAACACAAAGAACUUCAAAGAGUGCCCCAAAGUUUCUACCGGAGAGUCAAGACGAAAACGUGUGCCAACCCCUAUGCAUAAGUUCACAAGGUCACUGAACCCGCAAGUUGAUCACCAAAACAUACAUCAAGUGGAUCACGUGAUAUCCCAUUGUCACCACAGAUAAGCACAUGCAAGACAUACAUCAAGUGUUCUCAAAUCCUUAAAGACUCAAUCCAAUAAGAUAACUUCAAAGGGAAAACUCAAUCCCUUACAAGAGAGUAGAGGGGGAGAAACAUCAUAAGAUCCAACUAUAAUAGCAAAGCUUGCGAUACAUCAAGAUCAUGCCAAAUCAAGAACACGAGAGGGAGAGAGAGAGAGAGAAAGAGAUCAAACACAUAGCUACUGGUACAUACCCUCAGCCCCGAGUGUGAACUACUCCCUCCUCGUCAUGGAGAGCGUCGGGAUGAUGAAGAUGGCCACCAGUGAGGGAUCCCCCCUCCGGCAGGGUGCCGGAACAGGGUCCCGAUUGGUUUUUGGUGGCUACAGAGGCUUGUGGCGGCGAAACUCUCGAUCUAGGUUAUUUUCUGGAGGUUUCAGUAUUUAUAGGAAUUUUUGGCGUAGGUCUCACGUCAGGGGGUCUCCGGGCUGUCCACGAGGCAGGGGGCGCGCCCCCCACCCUCGUGGGCAGCCCGUCACUCUUCUGACCCAACUCUUGCACUCCAGGGGCUUCUUUUGGUCCAUAAAAAUUCAUCAAAAAUUGGCACGUCAAUUGGACUCCGUUUGGUAUUCCUUUUUUGUAAAACUCAAAAACAAGGAAAAAAAUAGAAACUGGCACUGGGCUUUAGGUUAAUAGGUUAGUCCAAAAAAUCAUAUAAAAUAGCAUAUAAAUGCAUAUAAAACAUCUACGAUGGAUAAUAUAAUAGCAUGAAUACUUCAUAAAUUAUAGAUACGUUGGAGAAGUAUCACGACCCCGUAGGCCGGCGUGGCCUCGUAGGAGGGCGUAGGCGGGGGGCAGCACCGUAGCCGCUGUAGGGAGCGGCAUUCUGCGUGGCGAAGAGAGCCUAGUGGCUUGCCGGACGAGGCCCAAGGAUGCCUGGAGCAGGAGUCCGGGGGACCGACAUCGAGUACGCGCGGACGACGCCGGUCCACGGGUUGAUGACAUACGUCCAUGGAGGAGUCACCUGCUGCUGCUGCUGCUGACGAGCCCCCCCUCGCGCCUGUUGCUGCUUGCGGCCGCCCCCGCGGCGGUUGCCGCGGUGUCCGCCACCCGGCUGCUGGGGGGCAGCGGGAGGGGCGGGAGGCACAGGCGGGAGGAGAAAGUACCCCGGAGGCGCGGGGGGCAGCGGCUGCUGGCGCGGCGUGGGUGGGGCUGCCGGUGGAGGGGCGCCACGUGAGGUGCCGGCGGCGAGGGCGUGAUGCUGCACACGUUUCUUGACCCCCUUCAUCCGGCACUCCUCCAACUGCAAGUACGCCACAAACUUGGGGAAGGAGGGCUCCGGCAUCAAGGUGAGGUUGGAGGCGGCGUUGCCGAAGUCCUCGUUGAGACCGGCGGUGAGCAUGCUGAGGAGGAGGUCGUCAUCCACCUUGGUUCCAAUGUCGCGGAUCUCAUCCGCCAAUGUCUUCAGGCGGCGGCAGUAGUCAUCAAUGGACUGGUCAUCCUUGUGAUAGUCAAAAAAUUCCUGCCGCAAAAAAAUGCGGCGCUGAAGCUUGUUGUCGGUGAAGAGGCCGUUCAGUUUGACCCACAUGGCGCGGGCGUCGUCGCCGGCGCUCACGACCGUGUGGAACAAGUCCUUGGAGAUGGUGGUGAAGAACCACCGGAUGAUCGUGGCGUCGAUCGCGGUCCACUCGGCGUCGUCCACCAUGGCACGGGAGUCAAUGGUGCCAUCCACAUGAUCCACGAGGUUGUUCUCGCGGAAGAGCAGCGAGAAGUACGUCUUCCACGCGAAGUACGUGGAGUUGGAGGCGUCGAGAACCACGGGGACGCGUGCGUGGACGUUGAUGUCGCGGAUCUCAGCAGGGUCGACGGCGAAGGGGUUGGAGUAGGUGGAGGCGUUGGACGACAUGGCUGCGAUGGCGUAGGGAAGGAGGCGGCGCAACUGAGGGGGAGCGGCGCGGCGGUGGGAGGUGGCGGCGCGGCAGGAGGGCGGCUCGGCGGGGAGGAGAGGGCGCGCGGGGAGGCGCGCGUGGGGGUGGCGGCGGCGGCGGCGGCCCGAGGCAGCGGCUAGGGUUUGCGGAAGCGGUAGGAUCGACUUGCGAUAGAUACCGUGUAGAGAAUGAUUUGGUGCAUCGAUAAUUGAUUGAUCAUGCACUAGGCACAUAUAUAUAGGUACAAGGGGUGCAACCGAUAUCUUGUCUCCUAAGAUACACAUAUAUACAGAGAAAGGCAGACACUAUAGGUACUGCGUACAAAACCCAAACCUACAUACAUGUACACAUGUUCAACAUGUUGUAUUAAAACAUCAUUUUUUUAAGAGGAGUCCGAAUACCAAAUUUGCAUGCCAUCCUUGGACUAGUUCGUAGGGUAGGAAAAAGUAGUCCCAUUCUCAACAUCAUAGAGAAAGUAAUGGAACAUCGACCUAAACUAACCCGCAUGUGACUAACACAUUACACAUACACACGUAACAGUAACCUACUGUUCUAUUUGUUUACCUGAAAAAUUCUGUUCUUUGUCUUGUAAUCGACAUGUUUAUCAUAUAUGUCCAAUCGAUUCAGGAACUAUUUAUUCAACAUAGGAAAAUUAGUUCCUUGCUUUGGCUUGUUUUCAAGAAAGAGCAAACAGAAUUUACUCACCGAAUACUGAACUGGACUACAUGCAUAGUUUGUUUUUACAGAGUAUCCAUCUAUCGGAAUACAUGAUUCGGCAUAACAGUAGGAAUAGAAUUUGAUCGCUGAAAAAGAGACCAAUUUGAUCAAUCAGAAUAUCCAUUCAAUUGAAUAUUCCUACAAUUAUUUACAUAGAUAAUAAACCAGUCACAUUGUUUUUGUUAAUAAAUAACUCAUGUAGUUGUCUUGUGGCCAUCUUGUUUUUUCAACCCUCUUUCAAAAAUAAAACACAUUAUUUUCUCUACAAGGUUGCAUAAUACAUUAUUUUCUAAUAUGGUAUAAUUCGAGAGGACAUGAUAUAAUUUGCUAAUGCCCCUAACGGUCACACACAUUGGAGCUGUGUAUUCAUUCAUCUGGCGUGCCAGCCUACCAAAUUGGUCAUUUUUCCAAUUUGAAAUAAAAAGGCAAAAGAUGUUGUAAUGUCAAUGUUUUUAAAGGAACACCCAAAAGGGCAUCUUAGACCUUACUAAUAUAAAAAAAAGUACAAAGGAUAGACAACUGGACACAUGAUGGUCAGUAAAAGAAAUGAAAUUACAUUGAAAAUCAUUCUAGCUUUCUUCUUCCUCAGAUUAUAUGCCGCCCACGAGAGGAAAAUUGCACUGAACCAACAGUAAAUAAAAUAGACACCAAAUGCCCUUGCCAUAUCAAACUUUCAAAACCACAAUAGCCACCUGACACUUGAUACGAGAUCUUGAAAUCGAUGAAGCAACAUCAAUCGGGACAUCACCCAAUGUAGUACAGGCUUGCAAUCCAUCAAUCACCACUAGUUUAGAUGGUUGGAGAAACUGAACUGUGCCAGAAGAACAAUACAGAAGAUGAUGUCAAAGUCACCACACCGGUAUCCAGCCAAUAGCUCUCCUUGAAAGCACACCAAUUGGCAAGAUCUGAAUGGACCAACUGAUCUAGGGACAAAAACUCUCACAUGCCCUUCGUUAGCAUCGGAUCGUGGUAGGGAAAGACCAGAGAGACCUUAUUUUAACACGGCAUUGCCGCCGCCACCUCAUGGGUGUUGCCAGGAAGAAAAACUUAAGGGAAAUAAAAUGAGACGGACGGGUACACCCCCUCCUCUUGUCGCCGACGAACCGACAAAAUGGGAAGAGGAGGGGGCGAGACGGCAACACUAGGAAAGUUGUGAUGGCGGCUAGGGUUGGGAGUCUUUUCGUGCGUCUCUGGUUUGGUGAUCUCCACUCAAUGUUUGAAAUAUGAAGUAAAAUAUGGCAUUAGUUUUUAGAUAAAUUAAGACCUACCACAAUAUUAUAAAUAAGGAGUAACAAAGUGAAAAUUACUCUAAAUAUAUCAGCUAUGUUAAGUUGUGAUCCAAUUUCAUAUAAAGUAUAAACGCUAACUUCUGACUACACUCCACUACGGCUAUCGACCUAGGUCACUACUUCUUAUAUCCAUUGUAAGCUGCCGCACAGUACAAGUUGACCAGUUGUAAAUCCCCGACAUUUGUAACCUUUUCCGAUAGGGCAGCACUCUGCGCUGGCGCACCGGCCCGAUUUUUCGGCCGGUCAGCCCAGAUCCGUCCGAUUUGCACGCGCGCAACCGUCAGAUCUCUCCCCCUCCUCCCCCGCACCCCAUCUUCAACCUCCCGCACGGAAGAAAAAGGGAGAGGGAGGACCGAAGGAGGGUGCCGCCCCCGCACACGCCGCCCCCUCGCCACGCCUCGCCUCCUCAUCUCCUCCCACUGCCGGUUGUCCCUGGUCGCCGAUCCUCGCCGUCGGUCACCGACGAGCUCCAUGCCUCGUUCACAAAAAAGAGCUCCCGUGCCUGCAGCACCUCGAUGCGCUCGUUCAUGGAUGUAGCAAAACAAAACGUUAGUCGUAGCAAAAAAGCACGACGGAGAUGCAGCAAAACAUUGUCGUCUCCGUCAUCGUGGGUCGCGACUCCGCCAUGUCGCAUGUAGCAAAAUUUCUCGCCGAUGGUAGCAAAAUGAAAAUACGGUGAUAGCAAAAAUUGCUCUUGCCCAACAAAUCAAAAGAUGAUAGUAGCAAAAAAUGUGUCUGGUUGCACCAAAAAAGACACUGGUUCCAGCAAAAAUAGAAAGGGAUGACAAAAACACACUAACAUGCACCGCAGUCACCGUGGUCACCAUAGUCACCACUGAGGCAGGAAAAAGCCGUUUCCAGCAAAAUGUGACAACGGUUCCAGCAAAAUGCCAUGCUGGUUGCAGCGUUGCAUUGAUCUUGCAGCAAACAUGGGCUCCCGUUCCAGCAAAACACGACGCCGGUUCCAGCAAAUCGUAAUGACGGUUGCAACAUUGUCGUGGCGUCCCCGCCGUUCUCCACCGUCGCACCACCGCGGCUCGUGGUAGCUCUUCCGAAUGCUGGUUCUGGUUCCAGCACUUCGUGCGGUCGGCUGCAACAAUAAUUGGCUCGCCGUCCGUCGUUCAGCUCCAGCGACGCGUCGCUCGUCGUGCCAUGGCCGUGUGCCGUUGCAGCUCCACCCCGCCCCUUAUGAAGAUCUUGGUGGUUGCAAAUUCGUCGGCUGUGGUUUGCAUGCCGCGUGGAGGAAGGAGGUGUGGAUCUCGCCGGCGCACGCUCCGCCUCGUAUCUCCGGCCACCUCUGGUAGCAGCUCGCCGACGCAUAGUCGACGGGAGCCGCGGUGCGCGCUCAGACGACGGGGGAGCGAGAGAAGCGGAAGAGGAAGGCAACCAUAUCGAAGGGAUAAGGUGGGGUCACGGUCUAUUCUGGCCACAUGAUGCCUCCCGAUCGAACGUCCCGCGCGCGACCGGCCCAAUGUUCGGCCGACGCGCCGGGUAUAAACGUUUCCCUUUCCGAUAUAACGGCGUUUUGUUGGCUGGUGCCUAUGGUUUUUCCUCUUGGAGGGGUUUUCCACAUUAAAAUCUUGUGUCUCCCCGUGUUUGAUUUGAUCUUCUUUGUUUUCUUGCAUGUCGUAUCUCUAGCAAGCUGAAUACAGAGUGGUGUGGCGUGCGGUGUGACAUGGUGGUUAGCUAGCCCCAUUCGUAGACCUGAUAUGGAGCAAUGACUUGUUGGGAGUAAGGGAUCAUACGGGGCAGUUAGCUACUGAACACCCCAGUUAGCCAAGAAAGGGAUAUGUUUUUGAUAGGGAGAUGAGGACGAGGAGAAGACAAGGAUGAGAUGAGUGGUGCUACUAAUUACUUAAUUAGUGACUUAUUGUUUGCCUGCUGGAUUAAUUUUAAUCAAGUAGGAGUAUACAAUAUUGCAUGUCUUGGUGGAUAUAUCACUGUAGUUGGGCAUGAGGUUAACCAGUAAAUUAAACCACUUGUAGACAAGAAAGGGUGACUAAUCUACUUCUUGACAAAACAACUGAUGUGAGCCAUUUAUUGUCAAAGAGAGUUGAUAAGAACCCAACCAAGAGAUUGCAGGCUGAAAUAAAUAAACUAGAGCGCGAGGAUGGGGUUUAGAGUUGCCAAGUAGUCAUUUUUUUUUACGAAACUAAGGAACCGUGUCUAAUCCUAAUACAAUAGCACCUACAUCCAACAUCACUACAUUAUCUCAUAAUCAACAUCAAUGAUCGCCACCGCCAUAGAAUAACUCAUGCGACUAGUUGUUCAUGUGGCCGACUCUCCUACAAAGCAUUGUCUCGCCAUGUGAAACAAUGACAGGCCGGUGGACCCCCAAAUCCAGAAAACUGCAAUCCAUAAGAGAACCCAAAAAAAAAACAUGGGAGGUGCCAAUGCGCCAGGCUACCUCCUCACAAACGAUAUUG